UUUGUGUUUGUGGCAGCUAGUGGUGGACCCCGCUGCCUUCUCUCUCUCUCUCCGUCUUCCUCUCCGUGCUUUACCAACCUACGAGAUGAUGCUUGGGAGGUUAAGGUCUUCCCAAGGCCGCAUCCUUGGAGUAAUUAUAAGGGUAGGAAGCCGUGGAAAUAUUCCUUUGCGCGAAGGCUCUCAAACAUAUGUGAGCAAAUAUGAUUGGAUUAGCAAGAACAUAAUAAUCACUUGGUGUGGUACCCCAGGGUCAUAAAUAAAGGAAAGACCAGUCCUUGUGGAGCUUGGGAGUAGGGGGGGCAUAGGGCUGCCAAGUAAGCUCAGGGCAGCCAACGUUGGGUGACGGACCCUCAUGGGUUGGAGGAAUUUCUUUUGAUAAAUUCUUUUUCGUCUGUAAUGGUGGGUAGCUGAGGGCAAGGGUGAAUGGUUCUGGUCAAGAUUCCCACGCUGUGUGUGGGGUUUGUUUCUUUGCUCGAGGAGGGGUCAUAUCUCUUGGGUUUCAAGGGAAGUGGUGCGUACAAUUGUCCUAGACAUCCAUUAUGGGGUAUGAUGAAUGAUCCGUGAGCUUUAUGCUUGUGGACCUUGGAUACCCUACAGCUUACGACAUUCACACACAGAGAGAUNNNNNNNNNNNNNNNNNNNNNNNNNNNNNNNNNNNNNNNNNNNNNNNNNNNNNNNNNNNNNNNNNNNNNNNNNNNNNNNNNNNNNNNNNNNNNNNNNNNNNNNNNNNNNNNNNGAGAGAGAGAGAGAGAGAGAGAGACGUUACUAGUUUGCAUGCAGUAAACUUAGAAAUUACGUUUUCUUUAAACGUAGAAACAGACUUUAUGGGAUUAGUCAUCUAAGCCGCAUGCAACUUCUAGAAUGCGAAUUCAUGCAAGAGAGGGAGAAUCUGGGAAGGGAUGUUUGAAGAGUUGCACCCUGAGCAGAGAGGCUUCUGGUUUCGCAUCACGACUUUAGAGUACGUAGGCUGGUUGGGGGUCCAUCUGGUUCGGGCUACAUUGCCCAUCUUGUAGCCUCAAGCGAUAUCCGAGUUUUACUCCAAAAGAUCCCAUCCCUGGAAUGAGAUCAUAGGAAGACCUGAUCACUGGCUAAAGGCAGGGAGACUUCCAUGCAAAACCUAAGCACCUAUCAUGCAUGCAUGGGUUGGAGCUGAAUAUUAGCUCACUAGGAAGCAGGCAUGCUGCUCGCCAAGGGCAACAGGAGAAAGUAUUGCUCUCCAUCCGCAUCUUUAGGCACUCAGUCUGUUUCCAGAUUCUAGAAAAAUCAAAGUUUUUGGGGCGAUUUAGGUUGUAAAACUAUCAAAGCUGGCACUAUGAGUUGGUAUAAAUUCAUAAAAAAUGCAGGGUCACAAAAAAAUGCACGUCAGUCCUGGAGCCCUUAACUACUAUAAAGCAUUAACCAUACAUACCAGGUUUUAAUCAUGUGAAUUUGGCUCCAAAAUGGUUUUGCAAGCAAUGAAAGGCUUAAACCAAGUCAUCUUCUAUAACCUCAGUAAUAUAAACUAUAAUUAUUAGCGUAUCAUCAGUAUUCAAAUGCCAUCAUUACCAUCCUCGAUUCCAAAUCUUUUGAAAUAAUUUCUUUUUAAUGGAAACAUACAAUAUGUUAGUGGGGAAUAUAUCAUAUAUGUAAAGCUUUUUGUGGUAUAAAUCUUUUGAAAUAAUUUCUUUUGCAUGGAAUCAGACAAAAUUUCAUAUCUUCUCUGAGAUUCUGUGCAAAGCGUGCUGCUUCUCUCCCUUUCCAAUGUCUUGCCACAAGUUUCUUUGUUUUCUUCCUAAGCAAAUGUUUUUUAGAUUUAUGCCCCACUUUAUAUAGAUUCCACGUCCUUGGGUUAAUUACCAGGUGUAUAACCGCUCAACAAAUCAAAAGUACUUGACGAAAUGAUGAUCCAUUUUCUAUUAUGUAUUGAUUUCUAUAUGCAAGACAAAAGAAUAAGAAAAUAGUUCCUUGCAGCGUAUCCAUUCUCUGUUCUAGAUCUCCACCAAUGCCAUGUACAGGUUCUCUCAUUGGAUGUGUUUGGCUUUAGGUGGUGGAAAGAAAAGAUUAAAGCUACAACAUUGUGCAAGAAACUGUAAUAGGCUUUUGAUGUGGUUUAUUUCUUUUUAAAUGGUCAAGUCAAAUUUCAAUCUUGGACUAAAAUUACCAACAUCAAGUUGACCUUAUCCAAUUACUAAUUAAAGUUGGUAUUGGUGAUGUUGAUUUUAGCUUAAAUAUUUAAAAAGAGAAGAACAAAGAAGUAUUACUAUAAUGGGUGAUAAUAUAACAUUAACUUCUUAAAAAGCUUCAUCUCAAGAAUAAUUAUUUGUUGCUAAGAAUUCAAAAUGUAGAGUAUUAAUAUUAUUUAUGUUUAAUCCGAAUGCAAUUAUAUAUAUAUUCUUAAAAAAAUUUGAGUUACAUUGCUGCUAAAAAUCUCCACUUCCCUAAUAGCUUAAUCUUGAAUUUGUUUUUUUUAUAAUUUAUGCCUGAGUUUGGUUCUCCAUAUUAUAAUUUUUGUUUUUACUAAAUUGGUAACAAAUAACGGGUACAUCAUUUUUCACCAAAUUCAAGUUGACAUUGUUCUCUUGCCAAAUACACUAUUCAAAUCAUUUAGUUCAAUGCCCUCAUGAAAUUUACUCUGGAUUUUGCUAUGUUGCUGAGAAAAAUGAAGAAGGAAAAAAAAUUAAGUCAAAAUAAAAAAAAUAAAAAUCUUCUAACAUUCAGCCCAACUAAGAGGAAAAACAAAAUCAAAGUCAUCAAGAAAAACGUGCAUAAGACAUGGCUAUUUCAAAGUACUAACUUAUACCUAUUUAUUAUUAUUUUUAAGCCUCACAAAAUCAAUAUUUUAUUUUUGUUUUUACCUCUUUAAACUUUUUUUUAGUUAGCAAAUUAAUAACAGAGAACUAAGAUUUUUCAAUAUCCUUGCUUUCCCUUUCUCAGCAACCAUACUUAGCUUUGUUUCUGCACCAUAAAAUUCACAGGAAAAUAUGACGUACGGCGUACAUGAUAGCCUCCAGGAGUAUCAAAAUGUAUUGUAUAGCACUCGGCUCAGUAUUAUUUAUUUAUAAAAAUAACAAAAAUGGACCGCCGGUGAGCCACCGCCUACUCCCGGUUAUCAACCGGCAGCGGCAGGCGAUUCCGGUCUGAAAGAGAAGAUAUUAACUCCCUUGCCCUCCACGUUAAUGGCCAAAGAUCUCUCUCUCUCUCUCUCUCUCUCUCUCUCUCUCUCUCUCUACCNNNNNNNNNNNNNNNNNNNNCUCUCUCUCUCUCUCUCUCUCUCUCUCUCUCUCCCCCUCUCUCGGAAUUAUUAUGAAAUCUAUUUAAACGAAAAAUAGACAACCCAAAAACCGCCCCUCGGCGCUCCCCGCGACACUUCUCUCCGGCCGGAGACCCCAGCUGCGCGAAAAAAUCGCCGAUCUCUCCACCUCGCCAUAGUCUUUUUCGCGCCCCCUUUAUAUGACGAGCAACCUCCCCUCCCCCGGUCCGGUUCUCUCGUAACGGAAAACCGCCAUUGUACCCGAAGCCGGUCCGCCGGGAGCUGCUGGGUCCGCUUACCCUGGGAGCCGGCGGGGUAGAGCCCGCGAGACGGAUCUUGGGUUCCUUUCAUCCUCCUCUUAGCUAGCUCGCUCGCUCUCUCUCUCUCUCUCUCUCUCUCAUCUUUGCGCUGGUCUCUUCUCUGACGCUCCAUCGAGAUUCGUGCUGAGAGGGGUGAUGGCGCCGGCACCGGAGCUGAGGGAGGUGCUCGGCAGGCUCUGCGGUGGGGGUGGAUGGGCGUACGGGGUGCUCUGGCGCGUGGAUCGCCGCGAUCCCCGGUAGCGAUCGGCCUUGAUCUGCUUGUUUGUUUGUUUGUUUGUCUUUAUUCUUGCGUGGUGUUUCUUGGAAGGAGUUUUUUUUUCCCCCUUUCUUUUUUCUUUUUUCUUCAGUGUCUUUCUGGGAAUCUCUGAAGUCUGAGUUUUCUCUGUGAUGUGGGCUUUCAUGGAUUUGUUUUUUAGUUGGGUUUUAAUGUCUUUCUGCUCCUAUUUGUUGGCUCGUUGUUUUUUUUUUUUUUUGAAAUUUUAGAGCAUGGACUAAAUUGGUAGCAAAUAGUUCGAACUAAAAAUUACUCCUUUUUUGGCAUUUUACUAGUUCGUUUUGUUAUUUAUUUAUUAAUUUAUUUUUUACAUCAUUACCUUUGUUGGUUUUGUGAUCGAUGGUUUUAGGAGAAUAUUCUUUAUCCGGUGGAUUUACGAAGGGUUCUAGCAAAUAAUUAGUGCCCGUUUUUGGACAAUAUGUUUCGGUCCGAGUAGCACUUUUAUUGAAUCACUUUUCUCUUUUACUACAAUCGAAAAUUUUUAACUUUGAUAACUUUUGUUUCCCCUCCUUUCCUUUGUUGGGUUUCAAGUAGCCAUUUUUCUCACAAAAAUGCUAUCUUGAUGGAAAGUGAAUACUGUAAUUCUCUGAUACCAUCAAUUCCAUGAAAGCCAUCAAUUUUUGCUGUUUUUGAAACAUGGGUUGCGGAAUUGAUGAUGGAUGCUGCUGUGAUGACUUACUGCGAGUGCUGAUUUAUAUAUUGAUCUCUCGAAUUUAAGCAUCAGUUCCUCAACUUCAUGGUUGAGACUGGAUUUUUCUUUUGAUUCUUUGAAAUUUUCACAUACCAAUGGGGCUAGAGAAUGCCAUGAUGGAUUUAAUUUGUAACGAAGUACUUGGAUGAUCUCUUUGAUUAAUAUCCACACUGUUUUGAUUACCAGGUUGCUGACGGUAGAAGAUUGCUACUAUGAAGAGCAGGUUCGAGGAGUGCUUGACAAGAUACUUAAUCAGGCCCACAUCGUUGGAGAAGGGUAAGAUUAGCAUAAUUUCAUGAUCUAUUGUAUACGGUAGGCUUCUCUCAGGCCUAAAUUUGUUUUGAGUGUCUUUUAAUUCUAGUUCUCUUUCAUCCGGUUCAUGGAUUCACGUUUAGUUUGAAUGGUAAAAAAUUUGAACUGAAGUGCAGGAUGGGCACAUGAUUUUAUCGUUUAGCUGCAGUAUGCAGCAACUUUCAGAGACAAAAUGUACUUUGUUUUGGAGCUCGAUAUAUGGUCAAACUUGCUCUUCUUGCAGUUUACUGAAAUUUGGCCUGAGUGCCUCUUUCUGGUCAUGCUUGUUUAUAUAUUUUGUUUAGUUACGGAGAUAUUUUUGUUUGUUUAUUAAUCUAUCAUUGGGAAUGCAUCUAACUGUACAAUAUUUUUUGUUUUUAAUAAUAAUGAAAUGGUUGCUUUUUAUUUUAAAGGUAAUUUGUCUUUUUUGAUCAGAAUAAUUGGAGGAGCAGUUAUAAAUGAGAACCAUCAGUGGGUCUACUCUGAUUCUUACCGCAUAAAUUUGAGCCCGACCAACUCUACUGACAAUCCAGACAUAUUUCAGGUACCGUUAGAUGUGUCUACUGACUCUCUUAAUGGCAACUUAACUGAUGCACACACACACACACACAGAGGGAGAGAGAGAGCAAAAGUUAGAAAAAGCCUGUGAAAGUGUCUGAAGACUUAAAAAAAAAAGAGUGGAAGAGAGCAUAAUGUUACAUAAAUAAAUUUUCUGUGAUAUCAAAAUAAAUUUCAAUUUCUUGGCCAUCUUAAUUUUUUGUGGAGCAUCCAUUUUAUUAAGAAAAAGAGUUUCAAAUGUCUUAUAAUGGUAUUCGUUAUAUUAAGAAAAAAUGAUGAUUUGCACAAGUAUAUAUAUAUGGUUUUUAGACUUCAUGCUGAUUUUGUAAAGUAUAACUAUGUACUACUGUAUUAGUUAUCAUUGGUUGUCUAAAUUAACUUUUCUAGUGCAUGUUUCAUAAUAGUUUAUUGUUCCGUUUUGGUUUGCUACAUUAUUGAGACUGUUAAAUGUCUUAUAAUGGUAUAUGCUCAAUACACUACAUUUAAUUAUCUGACUAAAUUUCUUUUCUAGAGUGAUGCUGAAUGGCAACAUCAGUUUACUGCUGGAAUUAAGGUUUGUGUUUAAUUAUUUACUCUUUUGUCCUUGUCCAGAUGCUUGCAUUCUGCCUUACUUCAUAAUAUUGACUUGUCUAAUUUGAAUAGAGAUAUGAGAUCUAAAUUCCUUAUUCAUACACUUGCCAUAUCAAUCUUCAAUGCUGAGCUGCAUAAUUUUGCCACUGAAAAUAAUUGUCCGUUUUACAGACUAUUGCCAUCAUUUCUCUGCCGUCAUCAGGUGUGGUCCAGUUUGGUUCCCCCAAGAAGGUUAGUAAUUAAAAUUCCUUUUAUACUGUCAAUGAUGCUGUUGUACAAACUGAACUCCCAAUUACUUAGUCUCAAAACUUAAGUUUUGUUAUCAUGAUAAGGUUAAAAGAGUAGUUAUCUUAAUCAUGUUUUCUUUCUUAAAAAAUAAAACAGGUUCAAGGUACAUCGCAGACAGAAUCAUUACUGCAUGAUUCACUGAUUUGCAAUUCUCGACGUCGCAUAGUGAUUUUCAAAAGAUAUCUUUAUAAAUUCACCUUCAGAUCAAUAAUUGCUUGAUCAUUUGUUAAUGAGCGGUAACAAGCCUGAAACAUUAAGGCCAUGGAAAGAAUGAGUUAACUAAAUGAGAUCUAUGAAAAGUUUGAAAUAUAAAUUAAAAGGGAAAAAGAAAUGGGGGUGGAAUUCUAAGAGAUGUAAUUAUCAACUAAAGGAAAUAAUAUCAUUUGAUGUGCACCACAUUGCACUUGUUCUGCCAUGUACUUUCUUUUGGAAGCUAAUGGCAGUAAUGAGACAUCCAGGGCUUGCAUUCCUUCAUGCAUAAAUUCAAAGAGACACCUAUAUAUCUACAGCACUAUGUAUCAAUGAGAAAGGUUUGCAUAUAAUGAAAGGUCACCUUUUUAUCAAAAAAGAAGACACCAAAAAUAUUAUGCAAUUCAUAUUUUUAACUUCAGUCAGUAGUUAUUCUGCUUAGGAUGGCAUAGCCGCUUUGGACUCUUUCUAAUGCAUGCACAUCUAUCCACCUCCCAACCAUCAGAAUCCCCUCUUCAAUUAAACAAUAAUGAUUAUUCAUUUAUUCUAUUAGCAUGACCUAGCUUUGGCAAAAUUGUUACUUUAAUUGCUUAUUUAUUGAUGUUGCCUAGAUCAUGACUUCAUAAACUUUGAAACGAAUUGGAAGAUUUUAACAAUUUUAUAAAAUUUCUGAAAAAACUGUUUGUUCUGUUGCACUUGAAUCCACUUGUGGAGCUUUCUAUUCCUUUUGUCAUCUGUAAGUCAAGGUUCUAGUUAACUUCUUACUUGGUUUUAAGUCAUGUAGACAAUGUUUAAAAACACUAAAUGGCACUGCACUGAACACGAUAUGAUGUGGCAUGGGUGCAACAUGGCAUGACUUAUCGUUAUAAAGCUAGAGUGCUCUAAGACAUUAGUGUACUGAACACUUGGCAUAAAAAUAUGAAGUGUAACAUCUGAGAAUCCAAAUGUAAGUUUCAACUCAGUCUUGAACAAUUCUACUUAGAGUGAUGUCACAUUUACCUUAUAUAGUACAAGUACAGAACACUUCUUUCAACAUGGGAACACUUUGUCAUAUUAAAUUUAAGCUUGCUAGCAGCUGACAAAAGGUCGUUAAAAGAGCAAUUUUGAGGAAAACAUCUCUUAAUAAUUAUCUUGCCUUUAAUAUUUGAAAAAUUGAUAUGAAAAAAGAGUGUGCUGUUCUUGUAUGUCAAUGAUAAACUUAAAUGACGAGCUUAGGAAUUAAAUGUCAGUAGUUAAUACAUGAUAGGACAAGAAGUUAAUACAGGAUAGGACAAGGGUUUAAGUUGCAUGAGAAGGGGCAGAGGAGAGCUUGUUGUGUAAUUUGAGAAAAAUUUACUAGAAUAUCAUUAUUCUUCACUUCCUUUGAAUGAAGACUCUACACAGGAAUAACUAAUGAUUGGAAUCUUUAGUAAAUUUACCCAUUUUCUGUGUCUUCAAUUAGACAACAUGCAUAGCUGCAUGCUCAAACCUUGAAAACAAUGCAGAUUGUAAACAUAUGGUGAUAAUGGUAUAUGGAUCUUGGUGCAGUUUGUGGUUGGUCUCUUGAUAGUAGCAAAACUGCAUGUAUUGAGAUGAGAGUUUGCAUGGAUAAAUACCCAGCAUUAGAUCCCAUCACCCUUCCCUCAUUUUUAGGAGAAACAUGAUUACAUGAGUGUACGUUGUCAUUCCUAAAGAAUAACUAUCAUGAUCUGCAGGAUUGCAACCUCUUUUAUCAGAAUUACCUGCUUGCCUUUCCUUUCCAUUAAAGCAUGAUGGAUGAUUCUCAUGCAUGUGUAAAGAUGGUUUUGUCUUCAAAUCACAUAGUUGAUAGCAGGCUAACUGAUUUCAGCAUGGAGAAAUCAUAGUAAAAUGAUUAAACAAUGUCAAUGUAUCAAAUUAUUUGCUAUUAAUCAGUGAAUGGUAUAUUUAACAUGCAUUCAUCAAAACAUGCUGCCAAAAAUUGAAUUACUUGAGCUAUUGUCUUAUCUGACCACAAUGUCUCCAUAUUUAGUCUUUGUGUGAUAUAGUAGUUACUAUGUCAUGGCAUUGAUGAUUUUAACUCAUUUUUGCCGCCAGAUUCCAGAAAAUUUGGAGUUUGUCAAUGAAGUUAAGCAUUCGUUGGAGCAGGUGGAAAGUAUAGUGGGGCUUCCUCCACAUGGAGUAGCUCAUAACGCUUGGACCAUUCAUGAUCCGAAUGCAGCAUCUACCUCUGCAAUUUCAUCCAGAAGGGCUUAUUAUUGUUAUGAGAACACCAAUUCCUUGUGCGGAGACACAAGCAAAAAAUGGAUGACAAGCGCAGAGUCUCUGUCAGAACCUAUUCAGUUUCCAAGUAUUUUCUCACAGGGAUCUUAUCAUGGGUUCAGAUCUCACAGUGGGAGCACGAAUCCUACAGUAUCCAUGUCAGGAGUCUCCGGUUCUGCACUUGUGCUCAAAGAUUCUUUUUAUCCAUUUCAGAAAACACCCUUUAUCAGCAGGAAUUCCUCAUUUUACCAUGCAAACCAAUGCCCUGCGGCCAGUGCUGAAGGUCAAGGACUGCUGUCCCCUAACAUACAGUUUCAGUCUGCUACUAAUUUUCCCAGCCGUUCAGUCACAACCAACUUGAACACAUAUACAUGGGCCAAAGGAAUUGCUGAUCGUACGGUGGUGCACAGACUGUUACCUGGGAUGGGAAUGCAGGGGUUUCCUAGCUUGUUUCCAGCUAAUUCACAUCUUCCUGUUCCCCAUGUGAAUGCACUUCAUCAAGUUUCUGGAGACUCCUCUUCAUCUUGUAGCCCAUAUAGAUUGUAUGAUACAAUGCUUGGCUCAAUAUCUUCUGAGAAAAGCAAAGUUUGCCUUAAUGGUACAGAGAAGUCGCUGGAAAUCCAGCAUUCAUCUUUGUCAUCGUUGACUGUGGGUGGGCUAUCCGGUUCCAAAUCCUUUUGCCGUGAACUUCCAGAUACUUCUGUCACUUUACAAGACAUGACAACCGAACAUUCUCUGUUACUUCAUUCUAAGAAUGAUUCCUUAAAUGGUCUUAUUCAUCUGAAUGAUCAACCACCAGAGCAGGUCUCUGACCUGUCUGUGAAAAUGAAUGAGAUUGUGGUGGGUGCCAGUCCUGUCUCAGCUUGUUUGGCUGAAGGUGAUGGGAAUGACUACACUCCAAUGUCUGGGUCACAAAGCAUGCCAGAUGAGAACUCCACUGCAGCACCAUUGAGCUCUAUGGGUCCAGAAAAUGGUGGGAAAGAAAACUCUUCGAUUAUGCCUUCUCAACCUCCUUCCGAUAAUAACCUGUUUGAUGGCAUGGAAUUGGAUCUAAGCCCAAGCAUUGUUGUGCAGGAAUGCUGGGAUGACAUAAUAAUGCAAGUAGGCAGUGACAGUUGUUCAAAUUUGAGUGCUAAUAUCUCAGAAUGCAUCGCAGAGUUGGACAUGGGCUCUAUGGCAGGUGCUGAAAAAGGGCUGUUCUUAGACUCUGGUCUUGAACAAUUAUUGGAUGCCAUAGUUGGUGAGAAUGCUAAUAGAGCUUCUACUUAUAAUUCUGUGGCUACUAGUGUCAAUCCUAUUGCUGGUCUUGAUUCAGAGCAUAAAUUUUCUACAAUUGCUACAGUAGGUGGGCCUUCAUUGUACAGAAAUCAGGUUGCGCCAGCAGGUCUUCCUUCCAUAAGUACUAAAUCUGAUGUGCUGUUACCUCAUUGCGACUCAGAGAAGAUCAUGCAUGGAUCUCCAAAAGAGGCACUCUCAGUAUCCCAUGUCAGUUCAUGGAUUGAUGAUGGUUGCAGUAUGAAUGCUGGGAGCGCUGUGCUCAAUCAGCCAAAGAAGCCUGAAGAAGCUAUCAAGGUUGUUAAGAAACGGGCAAGACCUGGGGAAAGCACUCGGCCAAGGCCAAAAGAUCGCCAGCAAAUACAAGACCGGGUGAAGGAGUUACGAGAAAUUGUGCCAAAUUGUGCAAAGGUAUUUAUCUCAACUGCUGUUUUGGAUGCUUUCUCUGGCUAUUACCCCAUGCCGUGCUUUCAUCUUCUUCUUUUGAUCGAACAUAACAGUGUAGCAUCGAUGCCUUGUUGGACCGCACGAUAAAACACAUGCUCUUUUUGCAAAGCGUGACGAAGUAUGCAGACAAACUCAAGCAAACUGACGAGCCAAAGGUACAUCAUCGCUUUUUAGUCUGUCCUUCAGAGAUGCUUCUUGAUGAUCAUUUGGUCAAUAUUGAUUGCUUUUCUUUUUCUCUCUCUUUUCUUUGUUUUUAUGUGAAUGUAUAGAUGAUUGUUGAGGAGAGUGGCGUCGUUUUAAAAGACAAUUCAAGUGGUGGCACUGGUGGUGGUGCGACCUGGGCAUAUGAAGUUGCAGGGCAGACCAUGGUCUGCCCGAUAAUAGUCGAGGACCUGACCCCCCCUGGUCAGAUGCUAGUAGAGGUAAUAAACAGUCCAAUUUUGUUUUGAAUCUGUUUCCGCUGUGUGCAAAUUUAAGAUGCCCCAUUCAUUCUCUGAACAGAUGCUUUGCGAAGAACGUGGGUUCUUUCUUGAGAUAGCAGACAUCAUUCGUGGAUUUGGCUUGACUAUCUUGAAAGGAGUGAUGGAAAUUCAUGACAGUAAGAUCUGGGCAAGGUUCCUAGUUGAGGUAGGGCGUGAAUGAGAGACUCUCUAUCGAAAUUCUUGUAGCUUUUUUAUCUCUGUUUCUCAAUUAGAUAGCUUGCUUUGCUUCUGUUGCAGGCUAACAGAGAUGUGACCAGGAUGGAUAUCUUUCUCUCCCUUGUUCAACUUUUGCAACAAACUAGCAGCACUCGAUCUAGGGACCAACUGGCCAAGGUUAUUGACAAAGGGGCUUCCACUUUUGCUAAUUACCAGCACUCUCCCAUGUCAACUCCCAUUAGUCUAGCAGACAGAUUGCACUGAUCCAAGCAUGGUAUCAGCUCAAGAAAUGCCUCGGUAGGUCAUGUGUUCCACAAUGAUGGCAUUUGGGACUCAGAAUUAUGUCCUGACACCAAGAUAGUACAUGCUGGUGUCUUGUCUUGCAUUGUGGCCGAACAUGUCUGAUCCUGGCUAAGAAUGCGGUCUGAGGCAGUGACCAUCAAUAGAGCUUACCUUAUAUUUGAGAAGGGCAUCAUCAGCGGAACAGCCGCUAAGCUUCAGCUGUAUAAGUUUCCCAACAGAAUGAAUAAUAGAAAGAACUCAGUGCAUGGGAAACACGAGUUCAGGGCAAUAGGAUUGUCUCUGGGGCAUAAGCUUGGCGAGCCAAUUUGUUUAUAAUAGUUCUUUAACCAUGUAGCGACGUUGAGAUUUGUACCAUUUGGUUACCUGUUUAUAUGGAAUCAGAUGCUUUUGACCUGAGCAUCAUUGGUUCUGCCUGGUUUCAUCCAUCGACCUUUUUCUAUUUCCGGAUUUUCUUAGUCAGGUCAAUAGGAAAUCAUUAUUCUCGAUUUUCUUAUCUUAUUAAAAGGUAAAACAAAAAUUAACCACUUUGAUGAAGAAGGUCAAAAUAUCUUUUUAAAUUUGCGCACAGCAUUUCUAGGUUUCAUAGUUAACGGCUUGAAAUAAGAGCGUAGUUUAAAAACCAUAUUAUCUUUCAAUUGAGCUUACCUGUAGUUAAUUCAAAUUCAAUUUGUUAAUUCAAUUCAAAUAACGAGGCUAAAUUGAAAGAUAAUACGGCUUGAUAUGGAGGUUAUAUAACCAUUUUAUUUCAUCAAAAAGUCAAAUUCACUUAACAAAUGCAAAAGUGAAGACAUAGGCCACACAAUAAGGCAAUUUAUAUAUACUAUGAAAAGGGUAUGCUUCCUAAUUAUUUUAUUUUAUUUUUAACAUUACAUGUGAGUAAUGUUUAUUUCAAUUUUUCUUUGCCGCUCUCUCCGUAAAAGCCCAAAUCCUCCGCGCUGCGAUCUGCCAGCUCGGUGAUCGCUGUGUCUACUCCACUGCCAAAUGGUAUCACUAGAGGUGGGCAUUGGGCCGAGCCGCCCAUGGCCCGGCAUAAAGCGGGUCGUGCCAGGCACGGUCCGCUUGCUACAGUAACGGGCCGUGCUAGGCACGGCUCAUAAAAGGGGGCCAGGCUGGGUUAAGGAUUUCUGGCCUGCGGGCCGAACCCGGCACGGCCCAUAAGGGCCUGGGCUGGCACGAUUCGUGGGCCAAGCACGGCACGGCCCGUAAGCCAGCCCGAAACGUCCCAUAAGGGCCUGAAUCGGGCCCGGUCCACAAGGGCCUGGACCGGGCCAGGCACGGCUCGUCCCCCUUAAAAUAAAUAGAAAUAAAAUUUUUUAUUUAUAAUUUUUUCAAUAAAUUAAUAAAUGUUGGGAAGUAAGGAUUUAUUAAUAUAAAGCCACCUUAAUGGUGGGGGGUUUGGUAUAGACCCCUACCAGUUUAUUAAUUUAAAUCAAAAUGGUACAUGAAAGAAGGUUUGAUCUGACCUCCAGAAUACAAUAAGAAAGGAAAAAAAAUAGAGAUGACUCACUUUAACAAUUAAAUAAAUAAAAAUGUACAAUUAUAAAAAAUUAAGAAAUAAAAAUAAAUGAUCAAAAUCUUACUAAUCAUCAGUAUUCACUAUUCAGUAGUGUUUGUAUCAUCAUCAUCAGAGGAUGUUGUAUCAUGUCCACCUUUAUCUUGAAGUCUCGCCUCAGCAUCUAACCAAUCUUUGAAGCAGAGAAGCAUCUCAACCGUUUCGCUAGUCAUCCUACUUCUCUUUUCGUUAACAACACGCCGACCUGCACUAAAAGCGGAUUCCGAUGCUAAUGUGAACAUCGGCACAGCUAAAAUAUCGCGUGCAAUUGCAGACAUAACAGGAUGUUGAUUUUUAACACUCUUCCACCAAAAUAAUACAUCUAGACUCUCUCUAUUUGAUUUUCAUCAUAUGCAGAUUGAAGAUCAUUUCGUAAAUAAAAUUCUAGUUCACUACUUAAAGAUGAAGAAGAUGAAGAUGAACUUAAAGCAUGCGUUUGUUUUCUCUGUGUAAUGAAUGAAAAAAUAGNNNNNNNNNNNNNNNNNNNNNNNNNNNNNNNNNNNNNNNNNNNNNNNNNNNNNNNNNNNNNNNNNNNNNNNNNNNNNNNNNNNNNNNNNNNNNNNNNNNNNNNNNNNNNNNNNNNNNNNNNNNNNNNNNNNNNNNNNNNNNNNNNNNNNNNNNNNNNNNNNNNNNNNNNNNNNNNNNNNNNNNNNNNNNNNNNNNNNNNNNNNNNNNNNNNNNNNNNNNNNNNNNNNNNNNNNNNNNNNNNNNNNNNNNNNNNNNNNNNNNNNNNNNNNNNNNNNNNNNNNNNNNNNNNNNNNNNNNNNNNNNNNNNNNNNNNNNNNNNNNNNNNNNNNNNNNNNNNNNNNNNNNNNNNNNNNNNNNNNNNNNNNNNNNNNNNNNNNNNNNNNNNNNNNNNNNNNNNNNNNNNNNNNNNNNNNNNNNNNNNNNNNNNNNNNNNNNNNNNNNNNNNNNNNNNNNNNNNNNNNNNNNNNNNNNNNNNNNNNNNNNNNNNNNNNNNNNNNNNNNNNNNNNNNNNNNNNNNNNNNNNNNNNNNNNNNNNNNNNNNNNNNNNNNNNNNNNNNNNNNNNNNNNNNNNNNNNNNNNNNNNNNNNNNNNNNNNNNNNNNNNNNNNNNNNNNNNNNNNNNNNNNNNNNNNNNNNNNNNNNNNNNNNNNNNNNNNNNNNNNNNNNNNNNNNNNNNNNNNNNNNNNNNNNNNNNNNNNNNNNNNNNNNNNNNNNNNNNNNNNNNNNNNNNNNNNNNNNNNNNNNNNNNNNNNNNNNNNNNNNNNNNNNNNNNNNNNNNNNNNNNNNNNNNNNNNNNNNNNNNNNNNNNNNNNNNNNNNNNNNNNNNNNNNNNNNNNNNNNNNNNNNNNNNNNNNNNNNNNNNNNNNNNNNNNNNNNNNNNNNNNNNNNNNNNNNNNNNNNNNNNNNNNNNNNNNNNNNNNNNNNNNNNNNNNNNNNNNNNNNNNNNNNNNNNNNNNNNNNNNNNNNNNNNNNNNNNNNNNNNNNNNNNNNNNNNNNNNNNNNNNNNNNNNNNNNNNNNNNNNNNNNNNNNNNNNNNNNNNNNNNNNNNNNNNNNNNNNNNNNNNNNNNNNNNNNNNNNNNNNNNNNNNNNNNNNNNNNNNNNNNNNNNNNNNNNNNNNNNNNNNNNNNNNNNNNNNNNNNNNNNNNNNNNNNNNNNNNNNNNNNNNNNNNNNNNNNNNNNNNNNNNNNNNNNNNNNNNNNNNNNNNNNNNNNNNNNNNNNNNNNNNNNNNNNNNNNNNNNNNNNNNNNNNNNNNNNNNNNNNNNNNNNNNNNNNNNNNNNNNNNNNNNNNNNNNNNNNNNNNNNNNNNNNNNNNNNNNNNNNNNNNNNNNNNNNNNNNNNNNNNNNNNNNNNNNNNNNNNNNNNNNNNNNNNNNNNNNNNNNNNNNNNNNNNNNNNNNNNNNNNNNNNNNNNNNNNNNNNNNNNNNNNNNNNNNNNNNNNNNNNNNNNNNNNNNNNNNNNNNNNNNNNNNNNNNNNNNNNNNNNNNNNNNNNNNNNNNNNNNNNNNNNNNNNNNNNNNNNNNNNNNNNNNNNNNNNNNNNNNNNNNNNNNNNNNNNNNNNNNNNNNNNNNNNNNNNNNNNNNNNNNNNNNNNNNNNNNNNNNNNNNNNNNNNNNNNNNNNNNNNNNNNNNNNNNNNNNNNNNNNNNNNNNNNNNNNNNNNNNNNNNNNNNNNNNNNNNNNNNNNNNNNNNNNNNNNNNNNNNNNNNNNNNNNNNNNNNNNNNNNNNNNNNNNNNNNNNNNNNNNNNNNNNNNNNNNNNNNNNNNNNNNNNNNNNNNNNNNNNNNNNNNNNNNNNNNNNNNNNNNNNNNNNNNNNNNNNNNNNNNNNNNNNNNNNNNNNNNNNNNNNNNNNNNNNNNNNNNNNNNNNNNNNNNNNNNNNNNNNNNNNNNNNNNNNNNNNNNNNNNNNNNNNNNNNNNNNNNNNNNNNNNNNNNNNNNNNNNNNNNNNNNNNNNNNNGACGGGCCUGGGGCCGGGCCGGGCUGCCGUUCCGUGCUGAAUGGGCCGGGCCAAGCACGGCCCGUUUAGACCUCGAGCCCGGUGGGCCUGGGCCGGGCCGGCCCGGCACGGCCCGUUGCCCAACUCUAAGCCUGAGCCUUGAAUGAACCAUGAAGCCCGGACUAUCAUCUUCUUUGCAUGUAGAGCCAGAUUUUCAUUAACCAAAACAUCUAUCAUAGCCAGGACAGGAGCAUCCAAGUAAGUAGUUACUCCAUCCUUUCCCGUCUGCCAUUAUGUCUGACUGAAGAGCCAGAUAGGGCCCAAGGAUAUCCAAAUGCCAGGGUUUUGCAUAUGGUGUUCAUUAUGUCCAAAGUCUUCGGGUAAUCUUCUUUUUCUAGAAAAUAAAUUUUUUUUUUUUUGGUUGAUGCUGUUGUUGUUGCUAUAUGACCAUGCACAGCUCUCCGAUGUCCAAAACAUGCACCAUAGAGGAUCUUUGGGGGUGUGGUUGUUGGGUUGUAACCCUUACUAUUAUGGACUCGUUUAGUUCGCGGAAAAUGUGCAGUCAAUGGAAAAACAAAAAAAAUAACUUCUUAUUUGGUUGGAGUUUUCAAAAGAGAGAGAUGAAAAAGUAGCUGGAAGGUAUUAUUUGGGUUCCUUGAUCUUAUAUAAGGAGUCAAGAUUUAUCCAGUAUAUAACCGAUGUAGGACUAAACACAUACAAUCCUCACACAAGGACAAAAGAAUUGAGUUAAAUUGUGGCAGUUCAUAUGGGUGACAUGCAAAAUUGCCAACUGCUUUGAUGGUGAGGAUUGGGAGCAGCUCAGCUCUUGCAGUAAGCAGAGCAGACAGAGUUGUUCGCAAUUUGAUUCCAGACAGCUGGAGUCAUGCUCAAUGAGCUUAGCAUUUCUGCAGAAGUAUUAAAUGUCUGAGAUUUCAUUCAUUUACUGUAAGUUUGUUUGAGUUUUGGUCUCCCCUUAGGUGAAGCCUUAAUGGCAGACUGGGAUGGAGAAAUUUCUGUGGAACAAGUUCAAGUGGUAGUUGAACUAAUUGUCGCCCCUAUGGAAGGAGAGUGUGGAAGUUGCCAUUCUACCAGUGAUUGUCGUGUUUAAUGCACAAUUUCAGGGCCCCCGUCCAGCUUGUAUAGUAGAUAUCUGCUUUCAAAGACAAGUCCUGCGGAAUUGCAAAUCUCAAGCAAUUAUAAUGACCAUUUUUGAGUUUCUGUCUUUGUAGUUUGGAAACAGAAUUCAGUAGAUGUUGGCAAAUAGUUUCCUUGCCUAAUGUCCAUGUAACCGCAAUAAAUUUCAACGUAAUGGUCUUUGGAGAGUUGAAGGACAGUGAUCUAUUCCUACAAAAGAAUGUAACGAGACUGUUAUCAAAUGGUGCCACUUUUUAUUGAUCCGACAAAAAAAGGGAAAAAAUGAUGCCACCCUUAAAUUUAGAUUAAAAAUUUAAAAUUCUCCUACCUCCAAAAGAAGCUCAGAUUUCUUCCCAUCAAAAUGUUGUCUGACAAACCAAACUGCAUUAAAUAUCUCGAACGAAAGCUUAAUGGGAUUUCCGAAGAAUGCAACAGUGGCAGAUGAUGGCUCAACCGGGAGAUAAAAGAAAGAGCUGCAGACUGGAUCUUUCUGCAUCACCUGUCCACUUAUCAGUGAUAUGAACAUAUGGAGGCUAUAGAAUUGCCUGCUUUAAUGUGGGUUCUUGUCUUCUUGAUGGUAUUGACAUGGAGCUCUGUGAAAUUCAACAGCUCCCUGGCAAGAUUGCACCAAUCCCCUCUUGCCAUUUUGGACAAGUAUUUAAGCAGGUAUACAUUGGUGCAGGAGCGGCCCAAUACAUUUGGGAGCCUAAGGCGAACUUGCUAAGAGGGACAUUUUUUCUUUUUUUCUUUUUUGUUUGAGAUCUUUUCUGCAAUAAGCCGGCCUAAGGCGAACUCACUAAGGGAGGUCUUUUUUCUUUCUGUUUUAUCUUUGAGGCAUUUCCUGCAUUGGGCUUUCUUUGGACCGGGGCUUUAAGCGACCGCCUCAAUCGCCUAAGGAUUGGGCCGGCUCUGCAUUGGUGCUUGGUAGCAUGACACUUGCUGCAAAUAUUUUCACCCUGUAUGGAGAAUCAGUUGGUGUCUAUAAGCUUUCUCCAUUUCUUGUUCACUCAACAUUCCACACAUUCUCUGACAUUGUCAUGGAAACGUUCUAGGAAGGAAUAAAUGGAUGACAGAAGUUGGAUUCUCCUACCUUGACCAAACAAAAUGCCACAAGAGAGGAGUAGGAACCACUGAUGAGCUUUGCCUUUGUUUUGGAUUGGUCCCUUUCUGACAAGGGAUAUUGCAUGUCUAUUUCCAAGAAAAAGAAGACAUGGAAAUUUGCAUGGGAAGUGGAUCCAUAUUAUUAUAAAAACGCGUCUCUUUAGAACCAGAAAGAAAAGUGUUUAUGGGACUUGAAAUCGGAUGAGAGGAGUGGAAGCACAUACUAACGGGUUGUUUUCGGGUAAAAUCGGAUAAUGGAUCGGGUCGGGUGGUCGAGUAAGGAGCCGGAUCUGGUUGCGGGCCGGGUCGGUAAGGUUCAGACCCGACCCAUUGACAGGUUUGCCCCUGGUCUUCUCCGGACCCCCCUACCGCACCCUUCUUUACCGAAAGAGUCCUGCCUCCUUGUCCUGCCCGCCCAUACCCUAACCCCCGGGGUCCCAGAGAUCGUCGCCGAGGGAUCAAGAGCCCGCCAUGGCCGAGGGCUUCGAGGAAAAAUUAGCCUAUUUCCAGGCCAUCACCGGCCUCGACGACCCCGAUCUCUGCGCCGAGAUCCUUUCCGCCCACAACUGGGAUCUCGAGCUCGCCAUCUCCGCCUUCACCUCCUCCUCCAGUCCCUCUUCCUCCACUAAUCCCUCCGCCUUCACUGCCGGCGUCGAUGGUGGCGGUGGUUCCAAUCCGGCCGAGUCCUCUCUUGCUCGCCAAGAUGCCGGCGACCGCGCCGCGCCCGGCCUCGCCUGGAAGCUCAUCACCCUCCCCUUCUACGUCGUCUCAGGCGGCAUCGGCCUCAUCACCGGCGCCGUCGGCCUCGGCGUCUGGAUCGCCGGUGGCGUCCUCUCCCGCUCCCUCAACCUUCUCGGCUUCGCCGCACCACGCGGAGCCGAGGCUGACCGGCUGAUCCCCGUCUCGGCGUCUACCGCCGAGGCCGCGGACUUCGUCGCGACCUUCGAGAGGGACUUUGGAGGGGCCGGCGCUGGGAUCCGGUUCGUGGCGGAGGGGUUCAUGGACGCGCUCCAGCGGUCCCAGCGGGAGUACAAGCUUUUGUUCGUGUACCUGCACUCGCCGGACCAUCCGGACGUGCCGGCCUUCUGCUCGGGAUGCCUGUGUUCGGCUCCGGUGGCAGCGUUUGUGAACGAGAACUUUGUGGCUUGGGGCGGGAGCAUAAGGAGGACGGAAGGGUUCAAGAUGAGCAACAGCCUCAAGGCAUCUCGGUUCCCCUUCUGUGCUGUUGUCAUGUCCUCUACCAACCAGCGCAUUGUUCUCCUCCAGCAGGUAAUUUCUUUUACAAUUUCUUUGUUAAACUAUGGAAUUUGGGGACUAGCUUACAUUGAUCUUGCUACAUUUAUACGUUGAGCUUUUCUUCCUUAAUGUCCUGAACUAUAGCUUUGGGUUUUAUUCCUUUAGAUUCUUAUGGAGAGUGAAGGGAAAUGGCAGAAUUUGAUGCGAACAGACCCAACUGUCAAUUAUGGGCUACGUGAUUUUGAAAAUUCUUCAGGGAUAUUAUCAGAAUAGGUGUUUUGAACCACUGAUACGUAAUUGAUCAUAUAUGAGAAGCUCUGUAUAUGUGAAAUAAUUUUUGUAUGAUGGUUGCACCAAAUUAUAUUAAAAGGAUGUCAAAAAUAAUCGUAGAAUGUUAAUAUUUGCAUCCACUGUUAUAUGAAUUUUCGAAGUCCCCAUAAUGGAUACGGCUUCUGCAGUUAUUGUGGCAUUUUUAACAGUUGUGAGCACAUAUUUUAUACAUUCCAGUGAUGAAUAUCCUUUCUAGAUAACCUUUCUCACCACCUGUCAGCAUUGUGAUGUCCCCAAUGGGGAUCUGAAUGGGUGUAUCAAUUUUUAGUCUUUUAGGAUUUUACUUUCUAUUGUCUUUCAACUUUCUUGCUAAAUUUUUGAUCUAUUUUUCUAGUACUUUUCUGAUUCCUAUUGCGAGUAGGUUUAUUAUCUAAAGAUGGAAAUGCCUACAAACGACAGAUUUGUUGAGCCACAAAAGAAUCUAAAUGAGAUUCUCUUCUAUUUAUAUCUAACCUUCAGGGUGUACCAUAUGCAGGCCACAGCAGUAGGACAAUUAAAAUUUUGCCCAUCUCCUAACUGUAGGAAUUUCCUACAACUAGGAUUGUGGAGGAUUUGCACUUAGUAUGGAUUGGGCUAAGAAAAGGUUUAGGACACUAUAGUUGUGUUUAGAAGUGCUUUUAAUGCCUUCCAUAUAGAGUUUCAUUAGAAUACAAAUUUUACAUUUUCAUAAGUGCUUAUUUGUUUUUUAAUAAAAAAUUGAAUAAUUGGAACAUAGUGGAAGUUAGGAUGAUGAAGAGUACUAUUAUAAAUUAAAGAAAAAUGCAAAGGGAUUGAACCUUAUUAACAAAAAGUUUUCUUCAUAGCUAAUUUGCCAUGCAUCGCAGAUCCUCCAAACAUAGAACUUGUAGGGAUUUGAAACCAAAUGCAUUACUCACAAUGGAAGUAAACAUGUUAGUAAUAGAAUCUUCUUCAAAAAGAUCUAAAGGAUAAGCUACAUAAGCAAUAUAUUGAUUUUCCUCAAUAGUUUCGAUGUGGCAAAAUCAUCCUUUGUUACAAUUGUUAAAUUCAUCGGUCCACAUAGUCUUGGGAAAAGGAAAAUGAGGAAAGGAGUUGAUCUAGAGAAUAUGGAUUUUUUGAUCUAGUUUUAUAGUACAGAAUAGAUCUUUUCUUUGCCUUGAAAUUCAGUAUGAGGUGCAUGCUUUACUUAAGGAAAGCACAAGCCAUGAACAGUGUCUGAUAUGGAUGCCCCUGGGUCUCUUUCCUUGCCUUGAUUUGCAAGUUUUAUCAAGUUCCAGGCAUAUUUCUUUAAACGUGGUUUGGUCAAAAGUUUUUUUUUUUGUAUGAUUAGCUUUUUGAAAGAACUCACAAUAUAAUAAUCUUUAACAAGAGUGUCGAUGCUACCAUCUAAGGAGACAGUGACAAAUUAAAUUGUUGUAAAUUCAGCUAAGAGCUACUGCAACAAGUCAAAAAGCUGGGGGAAUUUACUGGAUUGAGUUAAAGGGAUCUUGUUCUUUGUUUAGAGCUAUCUUCUUGUUCCAAGGCCAAGGCCCUAACUAGAAGGUGGGAGCACAUUUUUCAUAUUACCUGGUGGCUGUCAUGGCUUUGAAGAAAUAAGAUAUUCGGGAUAAGCUAGGGAUGGGGUGAUAUGUGAUACUGAGUUCUCCUGUUGCCACCUGGCUGCAAAGUACCUUUCUCAGCUAUGGAAGGUCCUCCAGAGGAAAAUUAUAUAUUUGUAAUUAUAUUAUCUGCUAUUACAAUUGCUUUUUUUCUUUUUUUCUUUUAGAAUGGAAAGUGGAGGAAGUGAGAAACUUCCCCCAGUUUAUUAUAGAAGUAUCAAGAAAAUUACAGUGAUGUUUUACAAGAGAAUAUGGGGAAAUGAAACAUAAAGUGAAUAACUAGAGAAGGGAAGACAAUCUGAUAGAAAUCAUAGAUUGAUUAUUUUCCCCAUUAGAUUAUGGAUACAUCCUGACUGGAUGAGAUGACUGUUCCGCUUCUUUUAUGUGAUCGUCAAGCUAUGGAUUGGAUGCACUGCUUUGAUUCUUUUUUUUUUUUAAUUGCAUGCUUGCAAGAUAUUUCCUUCAAGUUCGGUUGAAUGGGAAUGGAUAGUUUGCAUUGCGUGUAAUAUACCUCUAUACAAUAGGUGAACCAAGUUGAUGAUACUAAAAAUUAAUUUAUAUUUCACAAUUUGUUUGGAUGAUUUGCAAAAAAAUAUUGUAACUGAUAUGUCUUUGCCUGUUAUGCAUAAUGAAAUUCCAUACUUCUAUGCUGAUAGCUUUUUUCUUGAGGAAAAAAAAGAGAUUGUCUCAUAUCUUACAUUUUUUCAGAUUGAAGGACCCAAGUCUUCUGAUGAAAUGCUUGCAAUCCUUCAACGAGUGAUAGAAGAGUGUACACCAUCUCUAGUUACAGCACGGCUUGAGGCAGAAGAACGGAGAAACAACCAGCGCCUGAGAGAAGAGCAAGAUGCUGCAUAUAGAGCUGCACUUGAAGCCGACCAAGUAUCUAGCUUUUCUUUCUUCAGUCUUUUGAUUUCCUUCAUUGCUUUGUUUGUUCAGAUCGCUUGCAUCUGAAACUUUAUGAACUUGUCUGGUAAAUCAGGCUAGAGAGCGUCAGAGGAAAGAAGAACAAGAGAGGUUGGAGAGAGAAGCAGCAGAAGCUGAGAAGAAGCGCAAGGAGGAAGAGGAGGCUAGGGAAAGAGCAGCUCGUGAAGCUGCUGAGAAAGAAGCUGCUUUAGCUAGGAGGCGGCAAGAGAAAGCGAUGUCACUGGGCAUUGAACCUGAAAAAGGGCCAGAUGUUACACAGGUAAGUUCUUUCAAGCUCAAUUUUGUAUUUUUCUUUUUUCAUUUUGUAUGCUUUCAUUUACUAACUGAAAUCUUGAUCUUCAUCAAUGUCUGUAAGUUUAGCAAUGAUAGCUUAUUAAAUUACUAUCUACCUGGAGAAAAAAAUAACAAAAUAUCCCAAGAUGCCUCUUAUCUUCUGUAAUGGAUUUGAUAUGUUCCCUCAAAAUCUGCCAACAAAAAGAUUAGUCCAUAUUUGAUGUAUUUUGUCAUGCUGGUUACUCAGAAAAAAAUUAAAAAAAUAUAUACCUUCAUGCGUUUGCAAAUUCUGUGUUAUUUGCUCUAUGCUCUUACAAUUUCAUUCUUUAUAAAUUAAGUUAUAGGUGUUAUGCUCAUGCUGCAGUCACAUAUUUUUAAUUGAUCAAUCCACAAUAGUCAAAGUAGAAAGGUAGUUUACCAGGAAAAAGUGAAAAGGUAAAGAUAAACCCUGGUGCUUAGGUUUUAUUGCAGUGCUACAGAAAAUUGUAUGUCUGCAUAUUAGGGCAUUUAGUGGACUUGAAUUCACCUAAUAAAGUAGAUGAUAAUGUUCUUCUGCACAUAAUUCACAUAGAAUUAAAUUAUUAUCUUGUUUGUGGUCACUGAGUUUGUAAAAGAGAGAAAUCUGAUGUGGUGAUGUCCAUAAACGUGCUUACCCGAUGCAGGCCUCAAAGUAAGCCUGUUGCUUGAAAGCAACCAGUGAUUCUGUAUGCGAGCUGAUGAAAUCUAUUGCUAGCUAAAUGGUGGCGUUUUUGUUUUGGUGCCAAUUGUCACCUUUUCCUUUCUUCCUCCUUCAUCGAAAUGGAGAGAAUACUUGUCAGUGGAGUUGCCUAGGUUCAAAUGCUUAUUAAAUUACUAUCGCCCAGUGAACCAGUUUUCAGUUAAAAGGCAAAGCAUGGGGAAACUUGAAUAUGUUUUCCCUGCAACAUGUAAAAUAGUAUUUUUUAUAGAAGUAGUCACAAAAUACUAAAUUAUGGUAUUGUUUGGCAUCACUUUCUUCUUUUCCAUUUUCAAAAAACAGAAAAAUAAAAUUCUGUUGCCAGUUUCUUUUUGAAUUUUUGAAAAUAUAAACAUGUUUUGUAUAGUCAAUUUUUUUUUUAAAUAUAAGCAUGGUGAUGGUGGCGGAUGUGAUAUUAGCCGUAACGGAGUUAAUGGUGGCGCUGGUGGUGUUAGUGGUAGGGCGGCGGUGGUAUGACGAAGGUGAUGACGAUGAUGGUGGCAGUGGUGGAGGCACUGACAAUAUAAUAAAGGCAGCGACAAUGGUGACAGUGGUUGCGGCAAGGUUCACCGAACCAGUAUCAAAGAUCGUAUCGAUUGGCAAUCGGUUUGGCAUGGUACAGGUCCGUGCCAUAUCGUUCCGGGGCAUACAGAAAUAGGGGGUCCGGUGAAGGGGAGAGAGGAAUAGAGAGAGAGGGGGAGAGAGGAAGGGAGGGAGGGGGAGAGGGAUGAUAUCCAAGUGUGCCAAUUGCGCAUUUACAUUGACCUACUGGACUGAGUGCACGUAAACCUAUAGUUAAAAUUGGUCCAUGUUAUGACUAUUACCCCCCCCCCCCCAAAAAAAAAAAAUCCCUGGGUGUUGUACUUGUUCUUUACUUCGUGUUAUUUAUGUUAUAUCACAAACUUGUUCUUGAGUGCAUGUAAACCUAUAGUUAAAAUUGGUCCAUGUUAUGACUAUUCUUAAAAUAUUCUCCGUCCCUCCCCCCUCCCCCGUGUGUGUUGUACUUGUUCUUUAGUUCAUGUUAUUUAUGUUAUAUCACAAACUUGUUCUUUAGUCCGUGUUACUUAUGUUAUAUCACGAACUUGUUCUUUAGUUCGUGCUAUUUAUGUUAUAUCACGAACUUGUCCUUUACUUCGUGUUAUUUAUGUUAUUUCACGAACUUGUCCUUUACUUCGUGUUAUUUAUGUUAUAUCACGAACUUGUCCUUUACUUCGUGUUAUUUAUGUUAUAUCACGAACUUGUCCUUUACUUCGUGUUAUUUAUGUUAUAUCACGAACUUGUCCUUUACUUCGUGUUAUUUAUGUUAUAUGACAAAAUGCCACUGUUGGCUUGUCUAGGAUAUUUCCUUUUCAGCCUUCUUUUGUUUCAUAGAUAAGUGUUAUGGUUAAUGAUUGUAAUUUUUUCAUGGUCAAGUGGUACAUGGUAGCACUUGAAAUCUCCAACUACCUAUUGGAGAUUGAAGCUGAUGCAAUUGUUGGGCUUGUCAUCAGGUUCUUGUGCGAUUUCCUACUGGAGAGCGCAAGGAAAGGAGGUUCCACAGUUCAGCUACGAUCAGCUCCCUCUAUGACUAUGUUGAUUCUCUGGAUUGCUUAAAAGCUGAGAAAUACAGCCUGGUUUCAAACUUCCCUCGCGUCUCCUAUGGUCCAGAGAAGCAUUCGCUGACAUUAAAGGAAGCAGGUUUGCAUCCACAAGCAAGCCUGUUUGUUGAGGUGGACUCAUGAUCUGCAUUAUGAGGGGAUGAGGUCUUGGUGGUUAAACCUGAAGUUUUAUGCUCACUGUAGAUAUUUCUUUUACUUCCUUUUGAUACAAGGAAAGUAGAGGAAAGUACUUCAUUGUGUGAACAUUCCCUAAUAUACUGUCCUCUGUAAUUUAGGCUAUCUUGUUGAUCCUUCAAUUACACUUAUGGAGAUUUCAAUUUGGCGUUUUUCCCUCUUGUACAAUAAAGUGACUUUGGAAUACAUAGGAUCACAUUAUCAGCUUGUCUGGCCGUGCAAUAAUCUCAUAAAAUUAACAUUCCUCUUGAGUAAAAGGCUUUUGCUGUAUUUUGAUCCUGUCAAAUCUUACUUCAGUUACCAGGUCAUGGUACACCGCACUAUGAACAACACAUCUCACAAAAAUUUUGAUUUCAGAGGGGCUAUUCAGAAGAACUGAUUGUCUUAAUUUAGCGUGACUUCUUAGCUUGAUGUAUUAGAUUACUAACGAUCAUACUUGAGAAUGAAGAACAGAUUAUUACUUAAAUUCUCUUCAACUUAUUGAAAACUAUGUGAAAUCCAGGCAAAACAAUGGCGGAUGAUUUGUUAUAUACCCGAGACAGCCACGGUGGUUGGUCCCUCUGCCAUUUGAUAAAGAGCACCAGAAAAGCUCACAUCACCAACAUCGCCUCCUUGAGCCAGGAAGUGUGCAUGCUGGUUUUUUCCAAGAACCACCAGAAAGACAGGCUAACAAAUCUUGAGAUUGGAACUUGAGCACCUACAAUAGAAUUCCACUAUUGGAUCUAUUUAAAGCCAAACAUAUGAAACACUAACACCAAAGGAUGAACAUUUUUAUCGAAUCUCGCCGAUGCUUACACAGUUUAAAAAAUUGAAUAGAUCAAAUACUCGUAUCCAGUCUCCUGUGAUAUAGACUCGAACAGUAUGGUUUAACCGCUUGUCAUAAACUACAGCAAUGAUUGCAACUGGAAAGUGUAGGGUGAUUAUGAAUACCAGCAGCUCCACUGUGAGCCCCUGGCUGUCUGCAACCACCAAAAUGGGUAUGAAGUGAUAGUUCCAUGCAGCAAUACAGCAGAAAGCCUGUCAAUCCGAUGUCCUGUUCCGACGCAUAUUGUGAGUUCGAUUCUUUGGGCUAAAAAUGUGCAUACCUCCAGCAAAAGAGAAUAGCUAAAUAUGCAAAAAAUACUAAGCAGCUGAUAGGAUAAGUAUAUGCUCCAGUUGUACAUUACAUCAAGAUCUGAAGAUUCUUCGAGUGCUCGUGUUAGCUCUUGUGCAAAAUGAGGGUUCUUGCAAGUACCAAAGCAAAACCACCUCCACCAGCACCCACCAACUUGUAGCCCAGCCACAGCAGUAGGGUUAAGCAACGGUAAAGAGCUUGUCUGGAAACUCAGUUUGCUGCAGAAAGGGUCCAACUCCUGAUGUAGCCUCCAAGCCUCUAGCAUUAUAUCACCCAAUCCAGAGCCUCCCUCCCAAUCUUUGCCAAUUCUGCAAGGCUUAAUACAGGAUAUUAACAGAUUGUCUCCACGGAGAUACCAAGUUAGCGCCUUCUGCAAUACUUGGUGAGCAAGCCUCGCCAGCAUUUUGGCCCAAUGGUAAAGAGAAUGUAAUGAAAAGAACAUAACAUGUAAAAUUUUGCUGCUAGACCCAGUUUGAUGAAAAAAAAUUAUAAAGAAUAUUUCAAAUAUAUGAAGUAGGUGACAAUUAUAAAGACCAUAAAAUGUUGAUAAACCCAUUGUCUUUUAGAAGAGUUAACUUAUGAGUUAUGACAAAGAUGAAUUUCAAGGUUAUAGCUAGAAGAACCUACCAGAUCAAAGGAGGGUCAGUACUCAGUAGUAUACCAAAUUGCAUCUAUGGAAAUCCUUCCAAUUACCACUUCAUUGUCGCUCAUAAAACAUGUGUAAUUAAGUCCAACCCAGCUGUACCUUGUCCUCAGGCAACUCAAUUUUUCUCCCCAUCUACAUUAAACACAAUGUAACACAAGAAAGUGAUUUUGAUAGGAGUGUUCAAACUAAUUUGGACAUGCACAAACGUGGAGGAUGUGGGUGGAGGUUUAAAUAAAGCUUGUACUUUUGCUCCCCUCAAAUUAUUUUUAGAGCCUCCUUUACAAAGAGGUAACUACUUGCAGUCACUAAAACAUGACUGAUCUAUGAGACCAUGUUAUCGUUAAUGAUAUGUUUUUGAUUGCGGCUGCGAAUCAAAUGAAGCUCAUAUUCUAAAACUCAUCAUCAUUAGUACAUACAUAAACAUAAUGCAGAUUGAAGCAUAUAUGUAUGUAUUAUUAAGCUACAAUCCCAGCUCAGCCAAUUCCUAUAUUGUAAAAUAUAUGUCGGGCCAUCUGAUAUGAGAAUUCAUACCAUUAAUAUGAUUUACAAAAUUGAAAAUGCUUAAAAGCCAAAAUUCAUAGAUUAUUUUCUUGUUGCAUCAAGUCAUGAUGAGAUUGACAAAAUUUAAUAACUACUUAAUCAGAUUUAUAAUUUAGAGGAAUGACUAUGACAUUAACGCAUAUUGAAAAUGAAUAAUAAUGCAGAUUUUUUCAGCCAACAUGAAUCAGAAUACCAUUGCUUUAUUGGAAUCAUCCAUUUGGCGUACACCUGAUGCUUCAGCAACAAAGCUCCAACUAUCUGGCUUCUCUUUCAAGGCAAAGCUUUCCCCUUCCAACUGGAUUGGAUAUGGAACCAUAUGUUACACACUUCUCAUUAAGUCGCAAGCUGUUGAUGUGCAUCAAAAUUAAUUCCUAUAUUAGCUAUCUUAGCCUUCAGAUAGGUGCAUGUUUCCAUAGUUAUUAAUCAAUUAGAGUAUCACCUCAGAACCACCAAUCCUGGUGCACAUCAACAUCCAUUGUCAUUGACUUUGCUGCAGAGAAUGUACUCUAGCUCUGGUGUACAUAGCAGAGAGAGGCUAUCAUGAGGUCAAACAAAUCUGAGGGCAAAACCUGUAGGAUAAAAUUUAAAGAUGGGGACUGCAGAAUGUAACUCCAAACCAAUGGACAUGAACUAAAAAAUCUAUAUUGCCCACAAUGUUUUUAAGGCCCCUAAACAAUAAAUCAAGUUGUCCCAAGAUGGAUGACACAAAUAGAGCUAGUGCUCCAAAAUGAGUUGUAAGCUAUAAAAAUUAAAACCCAAAACCACUGACCCUGAUCUGGGCAUCGUAAAUCAUAUAAAAACCAAAAUCAAACUUUUUAAAUUGCUUUUAGUCCAUAAAUCAGAAAGUUGGGCAGAUUGAUGCAUAGGCAAGAAUGCAAUGCAAGAGGUCUUCAAAAGACAAUUUUUGGCCUAUCGGCAUUUUGGAUAUUCUAGAUCACUAUCUAUUGAUUUUACUCAAUGAUAUUCAAUCUUAAACUUAGCCUUGCAACAGUCUACCUCAAUUUAUGUCAGCAUCCAAUAUCUUCUGCAAUCUGCAGAUUAAUGAAACAUAUAUUUGUGAAUGGUUUUUGUGAUUAGCUAGUACCAAAAAUAAGCAUCGGACAUAUAGAAUUAAGGCUUAGUUGAGUUGAGUAUUAUAUCUUUUACCAAAUUAAUAUUCUGGUCAGUAAUAUCAUAUGCUGUAAAAUAUUUUUUUUUAUGAUUAUCAAUAUUAAUUUCAUCACUCUCUCACGUUGGCAAGAGUAACCUUGUCCACUUUACAAAAGACACACCUUCAAACCCUAAUAAGCAAGCAAAUUUAAAACCUUCAAGGCUUCAACCAAAUACACCAUAGAUUGAAAAACCAUAAAACCAUGUCUUAUUCACACCACCUAAUUUUAUUUCUCUAAAACUAGUUCUCACCAAAACCAGCUCUAACAACCAACUAAACUAAAACACCAGAUCAGGCUAUUUUUUUGAGAGUUAAUUUAAAGUAUGAUAUGCCAUAUCAAGUAAAAUCAGAAAAUAUAUACAUCAACAGGCAAGAUUAUAAUUCUUGUUUGUUUUCAUAAUAGAUUCCCAAGUCCUCCCUCUCAGGAAAAUUUGUGGAAAGGCAGUAAUUAUAGAAGAACUCUGAUUUCAAAGUAUGGCCAUUGUUUUACAUCACAAAAAAACGAAAAAAAAGGUAUGGCCAUUAAUAAGCUAUGACAGCGAUACCUAAACCUGGGAAGCCAAGAUGCUUUGAAGUUGAAAACUUCAGUAACACAAAAUAUUCACAGCAAAAAGGUCACACGGUUGUCGUACAACUUUCCAAAACGCUCCUUAAUUUGGCAAACCUAUACCAUGGCAGUUCAAAAAGGAUAAAGGGAAGCAAUAGGAGUUCUAUAUAUCCAUUAUCUAAUUCUUUUGUGUGAGAUGUUUUUUUGUCACCCAACAGUGCUCACAUUGAAAGCAUGCACGCCACAUCUAAGUAAAUUUUUUAAAAAAACUAGAACUUUGGCUGUCAAUUUUUUCCCCGGGGGGGGGAGGGGGUGAGGUGACAGAAUCAUCAAAUUACCUCACACCAUUCGACAAGUUUACAAAAUUCACCUUUUCUAUGAAUCAAUCAACAUUGCUCCAAAAAUUUUAAUCAUGAAGGCCAACACUGUAGCGUUGAUUUUCAAAAAUUAGCAGAUAUUAAUACACAAAGUAACAUCUUAUCGCUUUGUACAGAAACAUACUCACAUAAGACUAGGUGUAAAAACAUGUAGUCCAGCUACAAUGUGUUAAUCCCCUGGUGCUGCCAUUUUAACAAAAUUGCAGCAUCAUUUAUUGUUAUCUUCAUAAAAACAUAUAUAUAUUUAGCAUAUGCUUUCUCUGUUUCCUUCCUUCUGCUCAAACUAUUUGGAACUGAACCAUUUCUAUAUAACUGAAAAUACAUAAAAAAGAAAAGAAGUUUAAGUAUCAUGAAAACAAGGGAAAUACAAUUCAACAAAUUAUUCGCUCUUUAUGACCAAUAAAAAAAUAUGAAAACAUCACAAUCAGGGUACAUUGUAUGUGUUGACCAAAAGCAAACAAUAUUAAAAUCCCAGAGAACAAUGAAGUUACCUAAUGCCUAGGUCAAGCUCCUUAUAACCCAUCAGUUUUAUCUUGUUUCAAACGAUUGCGCAUAAUCAAAACCCUUCAAUUGAUGGCAAUGCCAAUCCAAUUCUCCUGCAACCUGCAACUUCAAUUAAGAGAGGAAGUCUGUCAGAAUAAAGCUUCGAGACUUGAGCAUUGCCAUUCAACAUCCAGAUUUACUUUCUCAAAAUAAUGCCAAACUUCACCUUCAUGGGUGGUCUUAUUUGACAGUUCAACAUAAUAGACAAUCUGGACAGUGAAAUUACUGGAUAUUCUUCAUUAAUAAAAUAUGUAUUCUACAUUAGCAAUAUUGUAGUAGCUACAAUCAUGACUAAAAAGCACUGUAUCUUUAGAUCAUGAUAGCAAAUAAAUGCUUUGCUAGUGCAUUUCAAUUUUUCACAUAUCUGACAACAGCAGCUCCACCAUUUAUACCUUCUCCUACCUGGCCAUAGACACCUAGAAAUCAGAAAAAAGAAAAAAAAAGUACAAGCAACUUUAGAGUUCUCAGACUGCCUAAAAUCGUAUGGAGCUUCUUGAUAAGCUUAACUUUAUCUGUUGAUUGCUGAACCAUAAUUCAUGGAGUUUAUCUUACAUCCUUCAACGAACAUGUUUCCCAUGCAUUGCAGCCAAAGAUUCAACAAAUUUCAAAUACAUUACAAUUAAGCAGAUGGAAAAUAUAUGAUUCCAUCCAGUGCAAUGAAUAAGUUCACAUUUAUGACCAUAAAGCAUCAAAACGAUGUUACAAAGGAAGAAGGUAGGUGUAGAGAGGAAGUAGAGGUAAAUGAUGUGAGGGCAUCUUCUUUAUCUGACUGUCAUUCGCAAAUUUAUGCAGAGCAUUUAUAUUGGUCAAACAUAAUAAUCCAAAGCAGAUAAGACUCUUAUGUACCCACCAUUAAAACGCUGAACUCAGGCAACAUGAACUACCAAAAUUCCCCAAUUCACAUUAUACUAGCUUUUGCUCGCCUGAGAUUUUUUUAGUGAAUUCAAAACGAAUGGAUAUUUAGCUAGUACAAAUCCCGAGACAGUCCCUUGCCACUCAAGCAGCAGGAAACAGGAUUGACCAAGCCCAAAAGAACACAACUUCAAACAUCUAAAAACCAGGAAAAGUAUAUUCUUAUUAAGUUGACUAAAAAGUAACACAACCAUUAGUAGAUAAUAACCAAAUUUAGCACAUGAACAUUUCGAGUAAAGCACAAUUUUAUAGUAUUGAAGCCCAAAAGCUUAAUUACCAGAACAAAACAGUGCAAGUGCAUUGAAUUACCACAACAUUCAAAUCCAUCUGGAAGUCAUCCAAGGCCAGUUUCUUUUUGGCCCUCAAGCCAUUUUAAAGUUCGCUAAAAUGUGAUUUGUGUUCUGUGCCAGAAGAAGGAGGCUUCAUUAGAAUUGGGAUAUAACGUAUAUAUUAUAACAUGCAGCAAAAUGUAGUAUAUUUUAUUGCUUUCAGUGCAGUCCCUGAUAUGAUUCACAAAAUAACAUUUGAAGAUGUUUAAAAAAUAUUAUUAAGUCAUAAAUCUGGUGGUGAUAGUUUCAAUAUGAACAUAAAUACAAUUUUACCUUCAGAUAUUAAACUACUGCUACACAUCCUGCAGGAGAGGAUUCACUUAAGCUUUGUGGCCAAGGUCUAAGACUGUUCCACUUCAGCUCUUAUAGAAGCUCCCUUUAUGAUAGGAAGCUUUUUUUUCACUUGGUCUGGUAUAAAUUACUCCUUGCUGCAGCAUAUCAUCUCUGAAGAUUGACUAAUUUUGAAUUAAAAAGAAAAAGACUGGUUGGUAAUAAUUUCUGUGGUUUACUUUAAAGUUGCCUGCUCCAUCUACAGACAAGAAAGUCGUCAAAUAACAUUAUUAUCUUUCUUUAAACUUUUGUAUAGUUUCAGUGAUAAUAUAGAAAGAUGUUCAGCUAAUUAAAAUGAUACUUAAAAUUCACCAUGUAGGUGACAUUAUCCUCUCCUGCAGAUACUAAACCAUCAUCGCAUGCAAUUCCCUUAUUUUCAUAUACCUUUUACAACCUCAUCUAGUUUGUCCGGAGCUCUCCAUCUCAUGCCAUCCAUUUAAAAUCGAAAUUUAUGACUAUGAUUUUCCUACUUAUCGGUAGUAUAGUCGUGUAGUAUAACCAUGUCCUCAAAUACUUUAUGAAGUAUGUUGAAUAAAAAAAUUCAUGGCUCUGCAUAAAAGCAGAGAUAUCACACUCCAUUGUGUAUGCAAAGCUACUGUGGGUUUAUCACUUCUCCAGAAAACUAACAUUUGAUUGAAGUAAAAAAUUUACCAUGUUUUCUCCAUUUAGUCUUGCGGGAACAAAGGAAACCUCUGAGACCCACAUCAGGCACAUGUGCUAGCAUGAUGAAGUGAAACAAUAUUCAGGAAUCACCCAAAACUGCUAAGUGCCAACUGAAAAUCCAACUUGCAACUCAAAACUAUUCAUCUUUCAGAAUCUUUUAAAAAUAAAUAAACAUCAAUAAAGAUUUCCAACCAGUGAGAAAUGAGAAAUGAGCAGUUGAUGACAACUUGCUUCUUGGCAAUACUCACGACCAUGAGCUGUCUUCUCAGCAACUUCAUAUGAUGAGUCUCAAUGGAGUAGCUCACAAAACUGAUCGAUGGUCUUAUGCAGAGUUAUGUCAUCAAAGAAAAGGAUGCAAAAUGUGAUCUAUGCGAUGGAGAUACUUAAUAGACUACAUUUUAAAGCACAUUUAAAUAAAAGAGGCAUCUGUUAAUUGCUGUCCACACAAAAAUAUGUAGAAAUCUUGUUGCACCACGGACAAUUUAAAGCAACAUCUGGCCUUUCUAUACUUCUUUGAAACCAUUAGAGUUGUAUGAAAAGCAUAUACCUAUUGCUGAAAAUCUCUGAACAUUCUACUUCAGCAUGUACUAAUAAAUAUGGUUCUGGAUAUGCAUAACUUCUUCUUUUUAUUAAAAAAAAAGUAAGAAAAGUAUCCACAUAUUAUAUGCAGACAUAUAAUGUGAUCCUAUAAAUAUCAUAGAAAAUUGCAUGAUUUACUAGAUUAUCACUAAUUUAGCCCCAUAUAUCAUAACCUUCUUUAAAGCCAGUAACCAAGUGACUAGAGUUGACUAUAUUAUAAUGUUCUUCCCUUUCCUGCCUUCAGGUAAAUCCACAACCUUAAAUUUAUGCAGACAGUUCCAGCUGCUUCCACAUCCUAAAAUUUUUGUAAGGCUCUGCUUUGCAACUCAUGCUUCCAAUUAGGCAACUUCUUGUCAAAGAUGAGUGCAUGUCAAAUAAAGCUGAACAGUGGUGAAUUUUCAAGGUACCAAACAUAUUAAAGAACUGUAAUAUCUCAUUAAUGCACAACAAAUCAAAUCCAUGACUUCUAAUUUCCACUAUCAAAAACUAGAGUGCCCUAUGAACAGGAGAUAAUAGUCAAGGAAAAUUAGUAAUAAUGCUGGAAAUUGAUGUCAUAUGGAAAUAAGUACAGUAAGAAUCCUGGAGGAAAAUUACAGGGAAAAAAAUAUCAAUACUACCUACAAAAAGGUGAGAAAUUGACUUUAAAGAAGUCGAUCUUUCUUCACUACACACUAAAUCAUCAAAUCGGACCCAAAUUAAAUAGGAUAAUUCUUACUGGUGAAGAACAUUUAAUUAGGUAUUACAGUAGAUUUUAAAGGAAACUCGCUUAGGGUAAAAGACAACUAGAAACCGCCUUAAGAUUUGAAAAUCACAUUGCUGGGACAUGGACAACUAAUUAUAGAUCUUAUACUCUUCACUUCGCCAAUGUUCAAGCCUGCAGUAUGAAGCAUGAUAUCAAUCAGACGGGUAAAAUUGAGGGAAAGAUGGUGUACUCUCUCUUCAUUGAGCAUAUUUUACCAAAAAUUUCUCAGACCAACAAUACAUGAUAUAAACUGGACCAAGUGAUCAAAUAACGAUUGAUGUUUCCUACAUACUAAAGGGUACAAAAUUCCACUUUGUUAUCUUUUGAUAGGUAAAAAGAACUUUCAAAUAUAACUAAUCAUAACAGAUAUAUCAAAAUUAAAAAGAAAAAGUUAUCACUUGCAUGGAUAUCAGUUUUCUCCAUGGACAGAGCUCCAGCAUUUUCACUCACUUUACCCACAUUACCAGUGUCUCCCUGAUCAUGUGGAGAUUGAUCAAAGAAUUUACUUCUGAUGAAAGAUAUCAUCAGAAAGAUUGGGUAAUUAUUUCUGAAGUCUGUGAGUGACACAAAAUGAGGAAGAAUAGAAUUAGAGAAGAUGGGAAUGGAUCUUGUUCACAAAUAAAGGCAUAUUGCCUGAUCAUACUAAGCAUUCAGUGAAGUAAAAGAUCAUGGUAACUUAGUGGUAGCAGAUAGAAUGGAAACAGGGCCUCCUAGUAAAAGCUUUGCAAUAUUAUGUUUAACCUACCGGUGUCAGCUUUCAGUAUCAGGAGAGUGAAGCAAUAAGUCAAAUUGACAAGAGAUUGUGCUAAGUUGAACAACUUUCUCCACAAUAAUUGUCACGUCUAGAAGCAGUUCAGCAGGUUCAUACUUUGGCAAAAGGCUUAUGGUUAAGAGAAGAGAUCUGACAUGGUAGAUACAUUGCAAAAUCGCAAGAUAUAGGCCUGUUUGGAUGGCCAAUGAGAUCAUCUGCAUAAUAUCUCCCAUGUGCACAGGAAGGUGUGAUCAGAUGAAGCAGAGGAUGAAGAAGUAGAAGAAAUCGUGAGAGCCCAUAGAUCCUGCAAUCCCGAUGUCUAUUGAUUGCAAAGGUAAAAAUUGAAUGAGUUGGGGGAACAUUUUUAUUAUGAAGUGUUGAUAGAUCAUUGGAAGAAAAGGUCGAUGGUAAAUCUAAGAAGAAUCAUCAGAGGUUCCUCAAAUUUAGAAAAAUUAUAUGACUAUAACCAUAAUCAAUGAAUCAUUCCCAUUGUAUAUGAGGCAUCCUUUGUGAAUCCUUAUUUGGCGUUUAUACAAUAUCUUCUUAUCAUUUAAAGGUCAACCACCGCCUUUUAUCUGCUGAACAUAUAAUAAAUAAGAAUCCAUUUUAGUUAGAUUACAAGCAAAGAACUCAUUGCAAGACAUUCUUAUCAUUUUUUAAAUGACAUCCUUAUUGCUUUGAAUAAGACAAUCUUGCCUUUAUUAACUUGAAACUAUAUAUGUAAGUAAAGAAAAAAGAGAAACAUGAUCUACAUACACGAACUUGUGAUUUAUUCACAAAGAAGAAUAACAGUUUCCAGUACACGACCUCUACAUAUGGCCUGGCAGCAAGAACUGACAACCAACAGGGAGUGGUGUAAAAGAUGAACAUUUGGAAACAUGAAAACACUCAAAAGGUUUGUGUCACAAGACCAAGGCACUUCCAUUCAGAAGCUUUACCAACACAGCAUCCACAGGUGGGAGCUACCAGUUCUCCUUCACAAUUUUUGACUUCUCAAGUAUAAACUUCCCUUCUUUGUACUUCUGCGUCUCCUCAUAAGCUCUUUCAUAUUUCCAGCCCAACACUUCACGACAAUCACAGCAGUAGAUAUCAGCAACCGUAUGCAGUCCUGUCAUUAGCUGCCUAUCUUCCUUUGGCCCCACAACUAUGUUCAUUGUAUGAGAAAACAGAAAUGCGCGCCCAUUCGUCCCCUGAGAUCAUUUUGGAGGUUGCAAAACAUAGACUAUAUCAUUCUCCGAGAGUGCAAGACAAGCAAAAAAAAUAUGAUGCAUAUAUGUCAAACCAGCAAUUCCCUUUAAUUCAAAUCCAGUAUCUUCAGUUCCAAAUCAUUUUGAGAAAUGUUUGCAAUCUUGAAAUUGAAUCUUUAGAGAAUCGCCAAUAAUGUGGCUUCAUUUUCUCCAUAUGUGCAUCGAACAAUUUACGAUACGGGAGGCAUAGUAUAGAUGGAAAGAAACAAUCUGCAAGAGUAAUCCUAAAUCACAUCAAGUAUAAGCAGAGUGAUGCAAGUGUUCUUCACCUGAAAAGCUUUCGAAAUGAUAUCAUCAUGAAGAGCAACAUUGUUUCGGCAAUUGAAACAGCUGUAAAAUCGAGGCCCAACGACUUCAGCCAUCAGCGCCCAGACCUUCUCGUCUUCAAUUGCCCCAAUUAGGAAAAAUAUGAAUCAGAAUCCAACAUAAACGCGAGUAUUUGCAACCACCAGAAUGCAUCUAAGACAUCAAAGAUUAGAAACCUAACCGCCCAACCUUCUCUGCAAAACAAAAAAAUCAAAUGGGAAAUAAGCAAAAUUAAACAAACCUCUAAGAGAUAAAAGAACUUCUACCGCUUCCUCCUCCUGCCACUUUCCUGCAAAACCGAUCUCCCAUUAUCCGAUCUCCGACAACUUGUCAGGCAACGAUUAAAAUCCAAGAAAAAAAAACACGGCCGCAUAAACCGAAAUGAUACGGGAGUUAGAGAAUUAAGUUAAUUAACCACUGAAAAACUCGACACAAUACCAUGGGAAACAGGGUUUACUAACCAAACAAGCGAUGAAUUAUUUUAAAAAUAAUAUACUGAUAGGAGCAAAGUCAACUGGGAGUCUGGAGUAUACAUCAGAAAACUCAGGCAUCCAUCAACAAUUAACAGAUUAAAAUUUGGUUAAAGAAAAAAAGUGCAUCACGCUGGAAACCAUCAGGUGUGAAAGAAAAUGAGGGGAUUCCACCAAAAAAAAAGAGAGAAAGAAAAUGAGGGGAGAAAGAGAUCGUGAAAGGGAAUUCAAAUCAUAAUGUGAACAAAAACCCAUUAAAAAAAAACCCGUCAUUUCUUUAUGGGAUAAGAAGUUGUACAUAAUUUGUCUGAGAAAAAAAAAAGAGGUUUUAGAGAUUUACCAUUUAAUCAACCAUUGAACAAGCAUACAGAACCGAGAGAAAAUAAGACUGCAAAGAAAGAAAAAAAAAUUGAUUCCUUUCUUGGAAGGCCCUGAAAAAUAUGGAAGAGAAGAACGAAUUGUUGGUUAAUUAAAGGAGGAGGGCAGGAAGAGGCAGAGAUUAAUUGAAUGAUGAUCCAAGGGACCUGGCCUUCUGACGCCUUUAGCCGGGGAGAGAGAAGAGCGGAGAGGGGUUAGGGUUUUUUAUUAUUUUUCCCCUCUUCUUCUUCUCCGUCUUCAUCGAAAAUGCUAUGUGCACCCCGAACUUUACCCAGAAGGCUGCAAUUCGGGACUUUGGUGAACCGCUGAGGGAUAAAGCCGUUACGCCCCACUUGUCACUUUGUGAACUUUUCAAGGGGAUGCCAUCUUUCGCGUGAAAACUUUUGUACUCCGGAAUUCCGAUCGCAUCUAAUUCCUAAAUUAUAUUAUCCCAUUUAAUACCUAAAUAACUAAUCGAUAUGUGUCGAUUUGUUUGAGUCUGGACUCAAUCAAGGCUUGGGCCUGUGGGGCUUGGUUGGGCCACUUUGGUCUCAAAUCGAGUUAGAUGAGGAACGAGCGGUCGGUAAGAAGCAUCGAAGCUCGAAAGUGAGCCCCAUGAAUGAGUCAACUCUCGAGCCAAGAAUGUGCUCGUAUUCUUUUCUGUGAGUUGGGCUCGGAGCCUCGGGCUUAUUUUCUAUAUUAAUGAUGUCGCUAUAUGGAAGGUAAAUUUGGUUAAAGGCAUGCUCAUAUUAUCACUUAUUUAUUUUUGAAGAUUAUGAAAGUUACAUAAAACUAAAUAAGAUCACAAAUAGAAUUGAAUAUUUGAAUGUAGAUUGAAUAUUUAUAUGUUCAUAUCCCUGUAUUUAUUUUUGGAAAGACUAUAUUUUUGACCCUUCAACUUUGCCCGUAUAUAUAUGUCCCUACUUUAGAAAUUUUUAAUUAGAUUCCUAAUAUUGCAAUUCAUUUUGAUGUGAUCCUUUCAUCAAUCUCUUAAUUAACACUAUUAACUACUAUCCAUAUUAAAACAAUGAAAAUACCCUAUCACCCAUGCUAUCCUUCUUCUUCUUUUCUUUCUUUUUUUUUUUUUUUUUUGUCUAUAACGGAUGGUUCAUACACUUCUAGUAUGGAUACAUCUAAAAAAGUCAAAAAACAACAUAUCACGGAGUGCUCUAGAUAGCUCCCUUUUUUCGACCCAUAGGGUUCUCCCGGAGUAAUCGACUAUAUACAAGGUCAUCCAAUCCACAGCCUCAUUAGUCUCUCUGUAAACAUGUUGGCCUGAAACACAAUAUUGCCUCUUACUACGGCCCAAUCGAUCACGGAUGCCCUUGAAUCCAGCUGAUAACUAUGGCUGAGUCAUCCUUAAGUAGUAUUACUCUGGCCCACAAAAUACGCCAUGCAUAACCCAGACCAGCCCACGCCACUCUCAACUUUGCCUUUAGAAUAGAAGUGUCAAAGAUCUGGCACCCGCCAGCAGCAACCACUCUAGAGUCCGAGCCCCUAAUGACGAAGCCUACACCACCUCUCCUACCACUAUCAAGCAUGCCAUCCUUCCUUCAAACACUUCUGCACGUCGAUUUCAUCCAUCCCACCAUUUUGCCCUCCUCCAAAGACCAUCUGCCAUCUCCUAACCUCUUCCUAUCUUUCUCUUUAAAGCAUCUUCAUAUAUCAUCCGUUACCAUCAUAUUUGCAUAAGUCAGAGAUCACCAAAAUAUAUAAUUCUUAAUUUUUAGCUUAUUUUACUGGUUUCGAUAAUGAUCGAUAGCAUAGAUUUUUAGUAAAUUUUAGAAUCGAGAGAAAUUGAUACCUUCUCCUCUUAAAAGAUAUGUAGUACAACUCGUCGCAUGUUCAAGAGAGAACUUGAUACCUCCUCCGCUUAAGAGAUACGUAGUGCAUGUCUCGCCACAUAUUCUCGUAUUCUGCACGUACUAUUCAAUAUGAUUUACUAUCUCAAAUUGCUUACGAAAAAAAAAAAUCACAUGAUCCAAAAAAAUAGACAGUUUAUAUAGCAUGAAAUAAUACAUAUUUUGAUCAUUUGAUGCAUAGAUUAUAAAUCUCGAAAUCACAUAAUUUUUUAUGUAUAAACAGUUUGAAUAUAUUAAAUCAUAUCCAAUGGCACGGAUCAUUGGUAUGGAACAUCCAUUAUUUAAUUCAAAAAAGAUAUAAAUUGAUCACCUUCUUAUAAAACAAACUAAAGCUUUAAGAGUAUUUAACAACUUUUUCAAGGGGGUAACUACUGUCCAACAAAAAAGAACAAAAAGGGGACUGACCGCUCCUAUGGAUCAAAAUUAAUCAACCGUAUCGUAGUUGGUGCCAUAAUCAUUUUGCAUUAACGGAUCCCUAACACAUUCACGGGUUGCUGGCUGUCGGUGAUAGGUGACAUCGAUGUCAUGUCUUUCAUCAUCAUCCUUGUUAUAACAACAAACCAAUGCGCGCAAACUUGGUUUAACAUAUAAUCGGAAAAUUGACUUACUGUUCACUUGACUUCCACAAGAAUAUUAGCCCCGGUUCUCUCGAAUAUAACUCCCGACAACUUAAUCGAAUAAAAUUAUCUUUGGGAUUCUUUUUCUAAGAUCAUGACUCGGGAAACUAGCAAACAAGUGGAAAAGGGGGAUGCGAUAUCCACUAAUUAAGCGACACAUCAUGCAAGAAACCCAGCCUUUCAGCAUCUUCAUCUUUCCGGUAUUCCAAUUGGAAAACUUUCUGCUGAAGUUUAAGCCUUGUGGUAACCCUGUGAUCCAUGGAAUUCCAGGGUCUUUCCUCUCCUCUUCCGAAUGAUAAGUAAUAAAAGAUACAAUCCAGUCAGCAGCUGAAAGAUGUUGUACUUCUGCAAUAGCUGUCGGACAUCCUCUAAUAACGGAUGGCCGAGCACCUCUAGCUUUUUUUUAAUAGAAAUCACUCAAUCAAUUUUAGUGUAUUUGCUUCUAGAAUAAUGCAUCGGGCCUUGGGAUCCCAAACACCCCACGUCGCUCUCAGCAGCCAUCACCGCACAUUUUGCACGACACCAGGAUGAGGAUAACGAACACGAGAGACGCGUCGCGGGCGCUGUGGACUUUCCUUUCGGCCCCGAGCCGUCCCGGUCGGCCAACCCAACCGAAACGCACCAAACACGAAGCCGAAAAGGCCUCGACCCCGCGAAGCUUCCACGAAACCUCCCCUCCAAGAAUCGUCCCAACCAGCCAAGCGGCCCCUCCCUUCCUUUCCAUAGGUCGCGGUCGUCACGUCCGGCCUUAUCGCAACCUCCUCCUUCGUAGAAGCUGUUAAAAAGAAACUAUUUUUUUAAAAAAAUCGAAUAAAUACGCGGCUAUUAAAUAGGAGUGACCACUUCUUCAUUGGCUGUCAUAGACGAAAGCAAGAGAAAAGAAAACGCUUCUUCUUCUUCUUCUUCUUCUUGAGAGAGUAAGGAAAAAAGGAGUGAUGGCGGAGGAAGGGGAUCGGACGGAGGCCGUGGCGGCAGGGGAGAUGGAGUACGAGGACUUGAUGCCGACGAUGGCGGAGAAGCUGGAGGCGGAUGAGUUCGUGAGGGAGCUGUGCGGGGGGUUCCGGCUGCUGGCGGAACCGGGGAGGGGGCUGAUCACGGCGGAGAGCCUGCGGCUGAACGCGGCGGCGCUGGGGAUGGCGGGGAUGACGGCGGAGGACGCGGCGGCGAUGGUGAGGGAGGGGGAUCUUGAUGGAGACGGGGCGCUCAACCAGACGGAGUUCUGCAUCCUGAUGGUGCGGCUCAGCCCCGGGAUGAUGGAGGACGCGGAGGCCUGGCUCGAGAAGGCCAUCGCCAGGGAGCUCGCCAAACCCUCUUCGAUUUGAUUUAAUUAGUUUAAUUUAAUUUAAUUUAAUUGUCUAAUGUGGACAUGGAAAUCGAAGAUGGUGACGAGAUUGGCAUGGCUAAUCGCGUCCCUUGCCUUGCAUAUGUUUCCAUUGUAAUGAUACUUGGUAUUGGAUAGAGUAUAUUGUUUUCAGACACUAUUUCACUUUUUUUUCUCAUAUUUAUUUAUUUAUCAUUUUCAAGAGACUUCCGAUCGUAGUAAAAUGCUGUAGUAGAUAAUUAAGUUAAAGAUAGGCUCCAUCUUCGAUUUAUCAAAUUAUUAAGUACACUCAAAGUUACUUGAGGUUUGCCUUGUCCUCUCUUUUUGUCCAACAAAUUUUGAGGCCAAAAGAAUGCUUGUGUAUUUCGAAACUGGCCUGGUCAGACCUAAAUCCAGAGCAUGACAUGGCCGUGCUAUCGAGGGAUACAACUCAUAAUAACACGAAACCAAAUAUUUUAUUUAGCUUCCAAAUUCAUCUCAAACAAAAUAGAAGAAUUAGAAAUCUAAUUUUAUUAUCCAUUAAAUGCAACUAUUAUUGGUUCAGUGCUUCAAAUUCAAACAUAAAUACCAAACUCAUAUUUCUCAAAAUUUAAAAAAUUACUAAGCUACAAAUUCAUAAUUAAUUGAAAAACUAAAAUUCUACUGUAUAUAUCGUCAAGCUUGCUAGCACGAACUCUAAGUAUAGACCAUCCUUCGUCCCUACUGAUCUUAUUCGUCUAGAGAGGGAAAAAUAAAAAUAGAGAUUUAUGAGCAACAUAUUUCAAUAAGUAAACGUUUCACUACCUUACCAGAUCAAGCAUAAGGUUUUGAAAGAAUCAGUACAUCAUAAUGUGAAAAUAACAAUUAUUGCAAGAUAGAAUAUUUCAUAGUAUUAUAUGAUAAAAUAAGUCAUAAGUCAAUCAUGCAUGCAAUAUCAACAAUAUGUCAUAAACAGGGUUCCAUGUGUAUAACUUAAAUAAAAUUAUAAAUUAUUUACUAUUUUACCAUACCAUUGAUCAAAUUACUUCUCUCAGACUAAAUGCUAAGGUCAUUAUUAUAUCCUAAAUAAGGUCGUAAUCGUCAAACACCAACCACUAUUACCCAUUGGUAGGAUUGUAUGCCAACUACUAUUACCUGCUAGCGGAGUCUUAUGCAAACUGCUAUUACCUAUAGGAAGCAAAGGGCAAAUGACGGUAGUGGCCGGCUGGCCAAAUUCGAUUGAAGAAGACCAAAACAGGGGUGUCCCGUUUUGAAAGAAGUUUCGGCAAUUGUCGGCUCAAACCAAAGGGAAAAAAGACCCAAAACAUCCAAGAAGGAGGAGAAGAAGAUAAGGACUCUUACCUCAGUCCGGCGAGGCGUUCCGGCGACUCUUUCUGAUGGAAUCGGAGGAAGAACCUUGGAAAGAAUGCUUGGAAUCGACGAUGAACUUUGGCAAUUUCAGUGGUGAAACUCAAAGGAGAAGGAGAAGGCCUUAAAUAGAUGAUUCUUAGUAUUUUUGGUUGGUCUUUGGAUCACCCUAGGACUCCCUGAGUCUGGAGAUAUCGGAGGAGGAAGAAAACCCUAGCUGUCUCCUUGGAUGGAGUCCGGGCCGCCUAAAGAAAAAUGGAUUAGAUGUCACUUCAAGUCGAGUUUAUCUUCCGGUAGAUUCCUCCCAAUUUUUGGGAUGAAAGCUAGCAAUUGAGUAUAUUCUUCUUUCAGGCAGAUUAGAUGGUCAAAAUAUAACUCCGUCACCUCCAAUUGAGAUCAUUCUACUUUCUUUCUCCCUUUUCUUUUAGGAUAUAUUAAAUAGUUAAAAUGUGACUCAAUUAUAUACUCAACUUUUCUCUGGCCCCAAUGAUUCUCCAAAAAUGAAUCAAUCCAAAUUUGUUCAAUUAUUCAUGAAUUCUACGAAAAUUCUGUGAUUUAUUCAUAGCUAAUUUAAGAAAUUUUAGUGCGCUACAAAUUAAUGAUGUCAUAUAUUCUUACUAGCAGUGUUGUUUCUUAUUAUCAUUUAUUAUUAUUACCCUUUCUAUCUUUUUUUUGAGUAAAUAAAUUUACAAAUAUUUUGGAAAGCUCUUUUUUGUUUUACUAUUUUCUUCUAGUCAUAGAUUGUCCAAAGUCUUUCCAAACUCUUAACGGAUUCAUCAGAUAUAUAUUUUCUGAAUUCCAUAUCAUUUAUCUCUAGCCGAAUUCUUCCCAAAUGCCGAAUUAAGUGACUAUAAUACAAUGAAUGCCAACCUGCAUCUGCCCACAGAAAGAAAUCUCAGUUCUCCAGGUCCAAGUAAUAUCGUCGGGGGUUAAGUUAGCCCAUGGGCAAGGGUUCUAUAUUUCGGUCCAAGACCUCCGUGAAAUCUCUGUCUUGGCAACACAUCAAGCACGGGCUUGCCCAUCAUUUCAUACUUAGUUUACUACACAAGGCAAGCCCACACAGUUUCUUUUUCUUUUCUUUUUUUUUUUUUUUUUGGUUACUAACAGCGGGUCACACUCUACGUGUGUAGAUGCAACCAAUAAAAAUCAGAAAACAAAAAGGCCAAAAAAUAGAAUCGGCACUGCAUCGUGUACCAUCCAUACAAAUCCUCCAGAAUGGUGAGCCACAUAGGAAGCAAUCCAGUCUGCUACACUGUUUAUUUUCCGGUAGAUAUGCGUGGCCUGCUGAGAGCCACACUCCUCCAGUAGUCUGCGUAUAUCGAGUAGCAAUGGCCUGCCCUCGCCAGCACGUCCCCGACCCCGGAUCCAGUCAAUCACUUUAGCCGAGUCGCCCUUAAGAAUGAGUCGGUCCACUCGCAAGAUUCUCCAGGCAAAGAAGAUGCCCUCCUAGGUGGCUCCGAGCUCAGCACACACCAUAGAAGGGCCGAAAAUUUGCUGACCUCUCGCCGCCACAAGUCUGGACUCAUGAUUCCGGAUGACAAAGCCUGCGCUUCUGCAUCUCCCGUCCUCAGCCCACACAGUUUCUUAGGAAAUAACUUCUUGUCCCAAGUAAUAUGAUGCUUACCCUUCUUUUGGGCAUAAUUAUCCCAAAUAAACCCUCGGUAAUCUUGGCAAUUUGGAUCCAACACACCGUCAUGGAUCCAAGUAGAAGCCAUCCAAUAAUUUGGUACAGAACCCAAGAUUGAAGAAGGGUUAUACGUCCACUUAAGAGAGAUGCUCCCUCCUCCACCUUGACAAUUUCUUUUCAAUUUUGUGCUGGAUUUCAUUAGCAUCACACCUAAAAGUACGCUUACCAACCUAAAUAAGUAAAAAGAUUCAUAUUUCUACAUAUUAUUUUGCUCAGUCUACGACGAAAAUGGUUACAUGACAGCAACGAUGUAUUAACUCUCUUUACCUUUUGAUCCGUGAUGACAUGAUAUUGCUCAAGUACUUUUUNNNNNNNNNNNNNNNNNNNNNNNNNNNNNNNNNNNNNNNNNNNNNNNNNNNNNNNNNNNNNNAACCUACCCGCGUGGUAGUCCCCAUUGGGCCCCUCUUCCACCAGAAAAUGUUUGAUGCAGGUCGCAACUUUACGCGUGCCCUCUCUGACCCAUGGGUUACCCCACGUCUGAGUACGUCAUUCCAAUGCCACAUCGGUACUAGCAGAUCAGAAGUGCUCCCACCAGCAGCGUCCAAGCAGGGGGCAUCCGGUCCCCAUAUUUAAUUGACGCCGGCAAGUUUCGAAUCUGGACCACUCUGGUGAAAAUAAAGCCCUGUUCCAUCUAUGCUACCACUUUGGUGGCUUGCUCAUGCACUUGACCGACGGCAUUAGUCUUCCAUUGCCGCUCUUGAGAAAAACAAUGGCAUCAUCUCCAUAGAAUAUAUGACAAAUUCUACUUCUGUUUCCAAUAUCGAUGCCCUGAAUAGCUCUCUCUUUUAUCUUGGAAAUCAGUAAUCCAGUGAGAACCUGAGAGCAAGAAGAGACGAGGAGACAGGGGAUCACCUCAUCUUCUCUCUAUUUGUUAUUUCUUGCUUGAAAUAGGCAAAUGAGCUUCCAAAAAAAGAUGAUAAAAGGAGGUAAGCGCCCUUCGGUAUAGAUUAGACUCAACCUUCCACCAUCUUGGCACUGAAAGACAAAGUAUAGAUGGGAGCAGGUUCAUGCAUUUCCUUUGCACUACCAUUCAUGGCUUAAGCCAAGUACACCAAAGAUCAAAAAACCAGCUCAUUCUGGCCAAUGCUAUGGCUUCCAAGUCUUCCACUGCCCCGAAUUUCACCACCCUAGGUGUUGUCUGCCUCGAAACAAGACAGGAGUUAUAUAUUCUGCAUGAAAAUAUGAUUCAUCUUUCUUCACGCAAAUCUGUUGAUGGAUCAUGCAAUAUGAGAUACAUAUAGGGCUCGUUUGAUUUACGGAAAGUAUCUUUCCUUCUAGAAAUAUGAUUUCUGGGAAGCAGAUUUCAGAAAAGAGAAUGCCUGGAAAAGUACUUUUGGCAUGUUUGGUUGACAAUGGGAAAGUGACAGAUUUCCAGAAUGCUUAUAUUUGGUUGAUCAUCCACUUUUCUAGAAAAGUUAUAUAUAAUUCCUAUUAUACUCUUAAUAAAAAUUAGGCCUUUGAUGCCUCUUUAAUGUCGAAGGAUUUUUUUGAGAAAAAAUAAAAAUGGAGUGAUUUACGGCUCACGGAAAAGUAACUUUUCUGUGUUUUUGAUUUUUCCAUGAAACAUGGAAUUAUAAUCCUAUGGAAAUACAAAUUUUCCGUCUCUCUCCUUUGUAAACUCCAACCAAAUAAGAGGGAUCGCAUUACUUUUCCAUUGACCAUAUUUUUCCCCUCCUUUUUCCGCGAACCAAACGCGCCCAUAUAUAGAUAAAUAAAAGUUGGAGUGCUUUGAGAUCCAAGCAUGUAAGAUUCAAUGGCUGAUGCCAUAAGAGAACAUCAACCAAUCUUUCACAUGAAAUGGAGAAAUUAUUCCUUAGACUGGGUCUACCACAUUGGCUAUAGAGUGAACCUAUAACGGAUUGCCACUAGACAUGCCUUCCACCUCAGCUCAGAGUUAAAUAGAAACUAAACCGAGGAUGCGGCUGAGCUCCGUCCACGUUCGAAUCUUCUCGUUCGAGCGCAACCCUUCCCACUCCUCCUGAGCGCUGCCUCGCAGAGUGUUCGUCCUCGGUGUUGGGGAUUCCGAUCUCCUACUCGAGGACCAUUCCCUCGUCUCUGUCGCCGCCAUCCUCGGCAAUGGCGGCUAGGUAAUCAAAUUCGCCAUCGUUGGCUUCCUCCCACAUUACGGGAAUUCAAGAUCCAAGGAGAGGAUUCUAAGCUAGCGUUUGGAGAGAAGGGAGGCCAUUGGGGUUUGGGUGGCUGGAGAUGACGGAGGAGGAGAGGACGACGGCGAUGGUGGUGGUGGUGGUGUAGUGGGAAGUUAGAUAUUUCGAAGGGCAUGAGAAUUCUAGAAGACAAAACUGUUCCUUAGGCUGAGGUGGCAAGCAUGUGUCCACAUGACGAGCCAUUAUAGGCAAUGUCUACAGUUGAGCUAGUAGAACAUGCAUUAGGGAAUAAUUUCUCUUCAAAAUGAGGCAUGGCGGCACUGUUUUUUUUUUUUUCUUUUUUUUUUUUUNNNNNNNNNNNNNNNNNNNNCUAGUGGUCGUCUUACUUUUUUGUUUUUUUUCUUUUUUUUUUUCUUUUUUGAAGGUUGAAUAGAGGAAAUUAGAACUUCCCCCAUUGAAAAAAAAAACAUUAUUAGUAAAUAGAAGCAUAUUGUACAGCACUAAGGUUAUUAGGACUUAUUGGUGGGAGUCAAGAAAAGGAGAAAAAAAAGCAAGCACAGAUCUCCUGCAAUGCAUGGUUUGCACUGUAGAGCAUCAAACAAGACAGCCUAAUAUAUCAUAUACAAUGCAUCUUAUCUGAUAACCGUUUAUGAUCUUCUGAUGGUGGCUAUCGAGUGCUAUAUAGGACUCUACAAUACAAAUAGUGCACUGCAGAGGAUUCUCGAUCGUUAUCCUGACCUGUCACUUAUUUACGAACCUAAGCCUGUUUAGGCAUGAUCUAUUUUUUUAACAGUGGUGUAACAUAUAUAGACCUAGUUUAUGUCCCAAAGGAAGAAGCUUGAACGAGCAAACAGAUCAUCCGGCUCACUCAAUUUACUUCUUGGACUCUGAUCACCCAGACAUGAAACCAAGAAAGAGGGUUUCCUUGCUCACAUACAAAUUUAUUCUUGAAGAACACCAUAUAUUCUCGAACUCGUAGACGGGAGAACAUACAUCAAACAGAUUCUGCUGGCAAGAAACUAUUCAACUAUUCGAAGUCAGGACAUACAUAGAUAUGGAGGCAAGAUAUCCCUUCUUAUUCGACUAUACCGAGUACUCCUUCAUUUAUGGUUGGGUGUCCUCCCAACCCCAGAAACAGACCGGAUCUUCUCCUUCACGCGUUUGAUAUAAUCCUCUACUUUCUCAUUAAUAUUCUUCUUUGACCCUUCAUCUGCUGCCGUAGCCGCUGCCUUUGGUGGUGCUGGUUGCGGUAUUGUCGCUGCCUUUCGUGCUGCUGGGGUCGGCACCGCCUUGUCGGAGGCCUUCUGAACUGGCACUGAUAUAGGCGGCGGCGGCGGAGUCGUUGGCUUUAGUGCAGACUUGGGAGCAAUAGCCUCUGAUGGUUUCUUCUGAUCAGUUGUAGGUGGUCUGGGUUUCUUCUGAGGGCUCGGUUCUUUUAUGCCCGAGCCCAAAGAGUGGUUUGGCGAAGGAUUGGUGGUGGCUUCGGGUUCUUGACCGUGGAGAGCGAGGCGGCGAUGUGGUCGGGAACCAGGGUUGAAGGCAUCGAAGACCUUCUCGCACAUGCCUUUGUGGCUGGAAGUGGUUGUUUCCUUCUUCUCCAUCUGGUGUAGAAGAGAGAGAGGGGGAGAGAUUGGAUUAGUUAUGAAGAUGGCGAGGUGAGAAGGGUGGUGUAUUUAACGAGGGAUGGGGUGGUAAGGAGUGAUGGCUCCAAUCUUGCAUGGGUAGUGAGAACGCUGGAUGAGAGUUAGCAUGGAAGUCGAGUGGGUGGGGAAUGCAUUGCUUUGCAAGAUGCCAAACGCCACUACUAAAGCGUAGUCUUUUUACGUUAUCAGGAUCAUAUUCUUCGCUGCUUUUCCGGAAUGGAGAUGGUCUGUCGUUUUGUAGUUAAAUCAGUAAGGAAUAGCAGAUCAUAGAAUGUUAUUGGUAAACAUUGGUGAAUGACUGAAAGGUACUGGGCAUCAGAGAUAUUGGUUUUGGAGUAAACUGCAAAUUGAGAACAGUAGAAAACAGCUGUUAUUCGAAUCACGUAAUGGUGAAUUCUAAUCGGAAUCUUUAUCUUUAAUACGUGUUAGAAGGUAAAAGAUAUCAAAUUGAUGGUGGGAAUUAUUCUCGCCUUUGUCUAAUGACUCGACAGCACGUAGAUGGCGUGGCGACUAUCAAAAGUAGAAAGAGGAAAUGACAAAGCAGGUGAUUUGAGCAACAUAGGCGAAUCACAUCACCAUCAAAUAACUAUACCGAAGGAGGGUUGCAUGACGACACCAUUAAUUAGCCUGUUAUCCAAAAGGCAGACCAUCUAGGUUCAGUCCACAUGAAUCCUCCUUUUGAAAAUGUCCAAUGUGUCUAUGAACAAUAUCAAAAUGAAGAGGUUCAUAGAGAUUCAACUGUUCCAUAAAUCCCAAGGAAGAUGUGGAUUGAUGUCAUGGGUCAAAACACUGUAAAUUAGGCUUAUCUUGUAAUUAAAGGCUUAAAAUCUCACCCAAAAAGUUGUCGAAAUGUAUUAUUUCGAUCUCUUGGCCCUGUAUAUGUACCCAAGAUCUAUCUAAUAUAGAACUAAAUACAUGCUCGUACGAAUCCUCGUAUACUUUCUCCUCAAAGCCCUACUAUUCUCAUCAAAUUAAGGAUUCAAAUCAAAUCAAAUACAAUCAUAAAUACCAUGAUUAGUCUGUUGCCUGCUCUAAAAAGGUUUAUGUUGUAGUAUUCCUUAAUCGAUAAGGGUCGUUGACUAGAUCUGCUCUAAUACCAUUUGUAAUGAUCCUGAACUUUAUCCAAAAAUGCCCGUCAAAAAAUAUUAUUUUGGUUCCUUGGUUCUGCUAUGUAGUCAAGAUCAACUUAAUAUAUGAUCAAUAUAUACUAAACACAAACCUGCAUGAGUCCUCAUUUAUCUCUAUAGGCAAUACUAACUCCAUAUAGCAAAGGAGAAUACCCACCUUUGGAUUCUGAAGAGAUGUUAUGUGAUGGUUGUUUUUAGCUAAAGAAGUAUCGCAAUUUAAAAAUAUAUGAAAUAGUUUAAUGUUGUACUUAAAUUAGAUCGUUGAAUAGGGGCUUCGGGUGAAAGGACUUUCUGAGUGAAAAGGAUAAUUGUUCCUAAAAACUAAAUUUCAUCGCCUAAGGUAUUUGGUGAAGAAAAAAGUUUUAUUGUCAAGUUCGUAGCCAAUGCCCCGUCACUAAAAAUCAAUACGAAAAUAGUAAUUCGUCACAAAAUAUUCAACACUUUGACGAAAUGAAUCUUGUUGCUAACAUAUACAUGACAGAAUAAUUCGUCGCUAAAAGCAAGUAAACAAUGUUGCCUAAAUAUCUAUUUUACCACGAAAAGUCGUCUCUAAAAGUCGCAUCCAUUAUUUUUUAUUAUGAAAGUAAUUUUUUCCAUGACGAAAGUAUUAUUGUCAUAAAAUAUUUUGAUGAUAAUUUUUUUUAUCACAAGACGAUGGUUAUUAGUGACAAUACUAUUUCAUCACUCAAAAUUAGACAUUUGGAUGGAAAUCUUUUUCUAAAUCCGACUGGAUUUGUGUAUGGCAUUGAAUAUGCUUACAAUUUUAAAUAUGGGAAGGAAUUUUAUAUACAUAUAUAUAUAUAUAUAUACACACAUUUAUAAAGGAUUGACAAAUCAAGUAUUUGGAUGGAAAUCUUUCUUUUUUUGUUUGUACGCCCUACUACUUGGCCACUAUAAUAACAUUAGCUUAUAAUAUAAAGUUAUAGAUUGUUAUACUUAUUCUAAACUUGUUCGUAUUAUAAAAUAUUUAUAAUAUUUAAUAACUUUAUUUAUAAUAUAUACUAUAAUAUAUUUGAAUAAUAAAUUGAAUUAAAUUGUAUUAUAAUAAUAUAAUAUAGGAUAAUGUAAUGUAAUUUACAUGAUUUGUUGAUGAGCAUUUUAAUCACUACAAUAUUUUUAUUAAACCAAAAACAGCCAAAUAGAGUUGUUGAAAAAAAAAAACUCCAAAAUAUAACUUCUCCUAAGUAGAGUUUUUCUUAGUUUUUUAGAAAAUCAAAAAACACUUCCCAAUAUUUUUCCAAAUACUCUCGUAUCUCUUGAAAGUACUUUCUGCCCUCUAUAAUGUAUUUUUUGAUUCUCCAAAAGGUCUUGCAUAUAGGGCCUAAAUGUACCGAUGUGUUUCGGGAUACAAGGAUGCCAUCUGAUCUUAAUGCUGAAGAAUUAGCUUGCUAACUAGUUGCUAGUCCAAUUCCUCCUUGUGAUAGCCAUGGUUCGGUCCACACGAUCAAGAGUCACAAAAGAAACCGUUCACCACUAUAUGAAUUUUCUUUAUUUUUUGAUAUCGAAAGGUUUGUUAUCAUUCUUCCGAACUUUGGUACUCGGCAGCUCCCUGACAACCUCUUCGAUCUCUGGCAUAAAUGGAGGGAAACUGUUUCGAGGAACCAUUCAUCACUAGCGAUUGACACCCUUCUCUGCAUCGGACUCUGGUGUAAUUGGGAAGAACGCGAGCGAUCAUCGCAUUUUCAGGGUCGAGGCAGCGGCGAGUAGGGACUAGGGAACUGGCAAAACAAGCCGUCCUCCUUUUUAGAGACUGGACCUCCACUCCUCAGAAUGUUGAGAUCCUCGGGACGGCUGCUGCCUUGCGCUUGCCCGAAAGCACGACCGGUUCGCGGUGCAAAUUCACGUUGAGGCCAUCUCCUGAGCCCUGCAUGGGCAGUGUGCGAGUGUCUGUCUCAUCAUUUCCCAAAGAGGGCUCCUUUUCAUGUCCUCGAUGUGUCAUCUUCACCCGAUUUCAAAGGCUCUCAGGCGAUCUUCGCUCGCGUGAAAUCCCUCAGCUCUCACCAAGAAGAUGAUGUCUUGGUCCUACUGAAAAAGUUGAAGCCUCUCCCAUCUCAUAUAUACGAUGUCAUCAAGACGGGUAGAGAACUCACCAUUUCUUGGCCUGGCAUGCGAUCAGAAAAUGGCGGAAUGGGGCUCAGUCACCGCUUUGCUCCUCUCCGGGUCCGUCACCUCUUUUGCUCUUCUUCUGUCCCUUUUUUGUUAUGUUAUCCCAAUAUCUCUGUAUAUGUAUUUGUUUUAAACUUGUUUGAGUGAUGAAGCUCGGGGGAAGUACCUUACUUCCCUCUUUUACAAUCAAGAGAGAGAGAGAAAGAGAGAUGAUUCGCAUGAUUCCUUCACUGAUGUCACAGGCGUGUAAAAUAAACCCACAUUAGAACCGCCAUGAAAAGCCAGAGAUGCCAUCGACAACAAGCAGGAAAAAAUAAUGCGUCUGAAAACAAACAGCCAUUCAGCUUAAGAGAACAAAAGGAAACAUCUAAAGACCGACAGCCAUCCAUGUUUUCGGACAACCCUCCCCUUAAGACCACUAAUCCAUCAACCGGCAAUUUGCCAUCCCAGAAAGACGGGCUCGCUUCCGUGCUCUAAAAGCAUGGGCUGCUUUAUCAGUAACGGAUGCCUACCUAGUUAUCUCAGAAAACAUAUGCCUGCUUAGCAUCCAGAAGGCCGCAUAUAUGAUGCAAUCCAUAAGGGACAAGCAGCCAAUAGCACUAACUAAAAUUAUUUGGAGAGAAGAAUAAGAGAACAAAACCAUUAGCAAUUAUCUUAUAAAACCCUAAAGAAGAAACUAACAUCCAGUCAUAGCAGUAUAGAUUUUACAAGAAAAAAAGGGGCAAGAAUCUAAUACCCAAUUAUAGAAUAUUACAUAACCACAUUGGUGCACUUGCUAAGACUGACCAGAGAGUAGAAGGAACAGAUGCAGAAAAGUCUUAAUAACUACUGGUGAUUUGCUCAAAAUGCAGAACUUCUCACAGAAUCCAGAUGCUUCAAGUCCUAGACCUCCGAACAGGAGACCGGCUGUAUAAAAAAACACCAUGAUAAGUUGAUCAAACAAACCAUUGAAAGUUAUCUUAAUACCAAAAAACUACCAUAGCCAUCAAAAAGAGAUUUCACUGAAACACGCAUAAUAAAAUAACAUGAAUAUUCGUCUCGAAUUGUGCCCCCAUUAUGAAUCUAACUGUUCGAUAUAUUGGCCUAAGUUCAAACCCAUAUAAUUAAAUAAAAUUUGAAAGUUUUCAAUUGACUUCUGCACUACUUCAUGCAUGCGGUGGUUGAACAUCCAAAAGCCUAAAAGCACCUACGCAAUCAACACCCAAGAAGGUAAAAACAAAUCUGCACAGGUACAGAUAACAUCAAAAAUAUAUAGCACAACAACUAAGUUUUGCAGUCUUCACCUUGGAUAGCGAUCAUAAUCAGGACUUCUGCUCCUACUAUAUGACGGUCCAUCAUAUCGAUCAUACACAGGACUACGAGCACGACCAUAGUCAGGACUUGGGCGCCCCCUGCGGUACACCGGACUAGGAGAGCGACCAUAAGGGCUGUCAUGCCUUCCAUAACCACUUCUUCUAGGGCUGUCCCGCCUGUCACCAUACUCCCCAUCAUCCCUAAAGGCAUACUCGACUGAUACCACACGAUCCAAUAUCUUGCUGCAAAGUGGAAAAGAGAAAAAGAUGAUGAUGACUUCCCAUCAUCAUGUACUAAGCUUUCAUGCAGUAUACUUAAAACUCAUGGUAAAAAACACAGACAGAAAAUAAUAGGCAGCAAAAAUGAAAUUUAAGUACUUCAAAAAAAUUGAAAAAUAUUAAUAACAUUACAAAAAAGAAAGCACAAAGACAUAAAAUUAUCAUAUCUGAUACACAUAACUAACAUUGCCAUAACUUGUUUCAAUGGCUUAAAACGUGCAUAACCAGCUUCACAGUCAAUUUCAAGAUGAGUAGGCAAACGAUACACUGGAAACUAAUCUAGGUACAAAAUCAUCUAAAUCUGACACCCAUAUCAAAGCAUUUUAUAGGCAAGCACAAGAUGAGCUCGCCCUAGAACCAGAACAUUCAUAAUGAUUCAAAAGGGAAAAAAAGACCUCAGGCAUCAUGACUACAAAGCACAUAACCCCUUACAAAAAAGAUCAUAGCGUCUAAUAGUAAUUUUCCCAGUUGACCCCAACUGGAAAAGCUCAAGAUCAAAAAAAUUUGAUGAAUAAAGAGACCCCUGGUAGUGUGCAUUGACAAACGUGUGGACCCCAAGACAACCAAAAAGAAAGAUUAGACUAAAAAAAUAAGAAAAAGUUUGGAUAUUGGUGGAAGACUAAGAAUUAAAAUUAAAUAAUUAAAAAUGUUUUGGUAAACAGGAAAAUUCAACAACUUUCAUAUAGCAUUCUGAAUAAUAUGUUAAACAUUAAAAAGAGUUGUCGCCAGUUCAAAAGAAACAACCUAUCAUCAGUAAAACUGAGAAAAAACCUUCAUAAUAGAAUUUAAGAAUAAUUUAUAAAGAACUUUAUACAUCAAUCAAGAAUGCAAGUCACUAAAAGGAUCACAAAGCAAAUCAUAAAUAGGCACAAUUUGGUUUAUGAUUCUUGCUACCCGCUCAGAGUCCCAUUUGUAAUGGGUAUGUGUGAGCAUGAAAAGGAGAUUGAUCUAUAAUUAUCUUCCAAAUAUUUCUGAUCACUAAACCUGUCAGUUUUAACGUUAAGUAUGCAGAGAUACCUACUCAUCACCAACAUGGAUUAUGCAUGUGCUUCCUAGUGUAUGUGCGAGACAGACAGAGAGAGAGAGAGGAGGGCAUGCAGAAAUCCUCUAUCAGAAGCAGGACCCAUGCUCCAACUAGAAAUUAUGUCAAUGAGUGAGAUGCAGAACUACCAAAUAUUCAACAGAUGAUUGCAAAGAAAUGCGACAAAUAUACUACCCCACAAACUAAAUACCAGUUGACUAACAAGUGAUACCAUAAGUAACAUGAUCAAGCCUCUGUCGUAACAAAGACAUGCAGGUCAAAGUAAAUGUAAGACAAGCACAUGCACAACAGUAGCAUGCUUGUUUUAUUGUUAAACAAGAAAAUGCUUGUUUUAUUGUUAAGCAAGAAAAUGCUUGUUUUAUUGUUAAGCAAGAAAAUAAACACCAAAACUUUUCCAAACUGUUGCAUAAACAAUUUCGGCAUGAAAAACAUAAAUGAAGCAAAAGGGGAGUAUGGAGGCUAACCUCAUAUUUGUACAAUCAAGGGCCUUUGUCGCUUCCUCCUGGGUUUCAAACUGCACAAAUGCAAAGUUCCUCCUAAUCCGAACAUUUAAUAUCGUCCCGUAAGGUUCAAAAUGCCUUUCAAUGUCCCUGACUCUUGUACGGAUUGGAUCAAAGUUGAUAACAAAAAGUGUUUUAGUAGGCCUCAUGUUUCCCAUUGACCUAGAGCCAUCACGAUGUCGUGGACCACGUUCUCCUUGCUAAAAGAAAAUACUCAGAUAAGCAAUCAUCAGAUGCAUAGCAAAGCUAUUGCCAAACCCAAAUCAACAUGCCCAAGGAAAACAUCAUUAAUUGAACCAUACAAAUUUAUAACUAAGACAAAUAAAAGUUUAAAGAAAGGAAAAUUUUCUUUCCGGAAAGAGAAAUUACCCUUGACCACUCAACUGACAGUCUGCGCCUACUGUAGCCAAAAGGAAUAUUGUCUAGGCCUCGAAUGGCAUCUUCAGCAUCACGUUCAUCUUCAAAAUAAACAAAAGCAUACCCUGCAACAAACAAGUAUUAUAAGAUAGAGAACAGCAUAAAAGCGAUUUGCAUCAUUUCCAUUGCCCAAGUGUCAGUAUGAUAUCCAAAUCAGGUUAUAUUCCUCAUGAAAACAGAAAUACUACACCUGCAUAUAUCUGUAGGCCUGAACAUUAGUAUGUGAAUAAUGGAAUCCAUCUAAGGUAGGAACUAAAACAUGAUGUCAUAUGAGUUAAUUCCAAGGUAAGUAGUCACUGCCAAGCAUGCUUCACCAGAAACAGUGUAGGCAUUCGGCUGGCAUGGCAUGAUGAUAUUGGUUGGCAUGGCAUGAUUAUAUCGGUUGGCAUGGCAUGAUGAUAUCGGUAGGCAUGGCAUGAUGAUGAUGAGUCCUCAACAAUCAUGCUCGGGCAAUGGCCACGUUGGACAAUGCAGAGAUGAGAAACGGAUGUUCAUGUGAAAGAAAUGAAGAGUGCCGGUAGUGAAUGGAAGGAGCUGAUAUGCUGGCAGGAAGGUUUCCUUUGACACGGAAGGUUUUUUGCAUGGUAGUGCUGAGCCCAGAAAGAGCUCGAUUUCCCUUAGUAGUUCCUGCGUCAAAGCAAACAUUUAAAUAUAGAUGUCCUUCAAACAGAAAUUGCAGCACUGAUCUUGUCCACAGUCUGAAAUUUACACAGUGGAUGUAUAUAACAUUAUGUCAGCCAUGUUGAGAAUUACAAUUCUGUUGUGGUGAAAUAAUCCAGUUUUGACAUUACACGCUAAAGGAAAUAGCACUAAAGUUGCAGUAACUUGUAAUAUAUCUUGCUGUAUCUAUGGAGAAUAACAGAACAAGGAAAAAGUUACACGUGCAUAUGCAUAUAGGUGAUGUGUGAACCACAAGCUGGCCACCUGAAUCCUUGGCCCCAUAUAUGAAUCUGCACGACCAUGUCAAGAGUGCUUUUAUGAUUUGUAGUGCGUGUAUGCAGCCAAAGCCAAUACAUGCAAGUACACCUAGCAGUCACCACUAAAAAAAAAAAGACUCUUCAUAAAAAUGUUUAAUAACAACAGAAACCAGCCACCACACAUGAGUAACAGCAUAAAUAUGAAUGGCUCUAAAUGUUCAAGUCACAUAAUCAACCUAGUUAUGACCUGUCCACAAACUACAUAGAAGGGCAAGCAAUUUGAUAUCCUACACUGCUCAUCAUGACAUACAAAAGACAGAGUGCAUUCAGACAUUUUCAAUUGUUUUUCAGGAUUUAUUACGCGCUCAUCAACUAAACACUACAUGGUUUUUCUCAAUAAUAGAACCAAAUAUCUUCUUUGAUCUGUGAUCAGGGAGUAUUGAAUCACUUCCUUUUUGCUCUACAUCUGUUUCAAAAUAUGCAGAAUACAGAUAAUAUGUACAUCAUCCACUUGGAUGAUCCAGCAUGCAUUUUGUCACAGGACACCACGAGACGAAAGUAUCCUCACAUAUGAAGAUGGAAGAGAUUAAAACAUAUCACGACCAUAAAAAAUUUGAUACCAAUAGGAAGGUAAUGUUUGAAGAAUCUUGUAGUGAUGAAGGGUGUAAUCUUAGUAAGAAGGUUCUGACAAAAUAUAUUAAAUAGGCUAACACUAAUUGACAGAAGAGGGAUUCUUGUUUGCAUUUUUAUAUUUGGGAUUUUUUAUUAGACACUACUCUUUAAAAAAUAUUUCAAAUUUUAUCCAUCAACUAAACUUACAUAAUUAAAAUACCAAUAAUCCCACAACUCACGUUGUAAAACCACUAUAAUGGUCACAUAGUCACUUUGUCAACCAAAAAAUCUAACUGUUCAUAAACAAAAAUACCUAGAACAACCACAUUACAACUUUAAAAUAAAUAAUAUAGUACACAUACUGCUUGUGUUCCGACUCAUCGUCCAAAUUUCCUCAUAACAUAUUUUAAUCAUUCAAUAACAUUGCACCCCUUUUCUCUUUCAAUAAAGAAGACGCAAUAUUAAGAAGAAGAAGAAUAAGAAGCAAUAUCUGAACAACCAGAAUUAACCUACAAAAAUAUGAAAAAUGACUCAACUACUUGAUCCCAUAAACAUGUGCAUAAAUAACGAUAGAACGUGACUUUUAUGAAAUUGCCUAGCCGUUCUUUUCUUCUAUAUGGAGAAGGCGGAGGGGGGGGCAGCAAGCAAGGAGGUAGUUGAGGUGAGAGAAACAUUUGGAUGGGUACAAAACAGUCACUGGUAAGCCAUAGCUGCUCCGAUAAUGCCAUUCCAACUUCUCCUGUUACCAAGUUUCUCCAUUUUAGGUCUUCUCUGUAAGUAUGUCAACACCAUUCACAGUUCAGCUGAAACAAUGAAGGCUCCAUUGAUCAUCAGCUAAAACAACGAAGAGUCCCAAUUUUGUUAAAGUUUAAUGAAUGCAUAGGUAUAUGCUGGAAAAGAGGUCAACUAAUGAAAAAAAAAAAAUCUUGAUUAACUUUUAACCCAUGGUUAUUUGUUGAAUUAUUUAAAUUUUUUUCCAGAAGCAGAGAAUUCAAAAGACAAAAUUAACUAAAUAUUCAAGCAAACUUUCUUUAAAAGUACUCUUAAGUUGCUCACAACACAAUAGUUUCACCCAAUAGUGAAAGAAAAUAAGAAGCAAAAAGGGUCUCCAUCCAAAUGUCUACACCAACAUAAAAAGUAUAACAGGAAGCAUUAGCAAUAGAAAUAAGACCAUCUCGUCCAAGUAGUCAACCAACAAGUUCGCUUUUAUCUAAAAUCAACAAAUGUAUCCAAGUCUACAUUUAGUCAUAAAGGAGAUAUGAUAAAUUUGGCCAAUAGCAACUGCAUCCUGAACACAAAGAAUCAACCAAAAAAAAAAACUUAAAAAACAAAAAGGG
Molecule: long non-coding RNA, 56080 nt
Filed under: Phoenix dactylifera (date palm)
Lineage: Eukaryota; Viridiplantae; Streptophyta; Magnoliopsida; Arecales; Arecaceae
Description: long non-coding RNA (PDAC_LNC001880)
Source: RNAcentral